UUUUUUUUUGUUAUUGUUGAGACAGAGCAGGGUUCGAACUGGGUUGUGGCCCAUCUAGCCCAGGCUUAUAUUUUAUGUUCACCAUGUGACCAGCCCAGCUAUUUUUUCUUUGUGAAAAUGAGCCCAGUUUAUUUUUUCUGAAGAAUGCCCAAUCCAGAUCUACUUAUUUUUCUACGCCCUGAUGGGCUGCAAAUCUUGAAAGUAAUAUGAAAUGGGUUGUAAAUAUAAAAGCAAAUGACAAAUUGGCAAUUACUUUAUAAAAAAUUUCACAUUUUCAGAUUCCUAUUUCACUGGGCAUUAACCUAAUUGAAAUAUAUCUUCAAAGUACUUUAAAUGUGGCUGGACAUUUCAGUAUUAGAAAUAGUUUGGAACCCACAGAAAUAUGCAAAAUUGGCCCUGGCCAACCAAAGAAACGACUGCAAUAAAUUGCAUAAGAAGUUGCCAUGAGCUAUAUAUAAAUUAUUAAUAAAAAGAAGGAGUGGUCUGACUUGUGGGCCUGUUUAGUUGACGCGUAUGCAAGAUUUUUUUAGUUAUUAUAUACGUCAACAAAUGAUUCUAGCAGACGUAACCGUUCUAUGUCAAUCCAACGGCCGUCAUGUUUCAUCAAUCUCUGAUCUUCUUGCUCCAGCCGCCAAAGCAGCGCCAGUGGGACCGCCUGCUCCCACCUCCCGUGGCCGGCUGUGCUGCCGCAUAGGCCUUAGCGCCCCCUACUACUCCCACCGCUGGACAGGGCAUCCCUCUACUCACCCACACCCCCUGUUAUUCUGCAGCAACGGCAGCCUCACACCGCAGCCGAACCGGUGAACCCUCGUACUCCUCUCUGCGCGGGCUUCCACUGCUGCAUCUUUCUCGGCUCCACGUUGUCCCCUUCCUAGGCCUCGCUGUCAUCCAUUGUCGUGGUGCUCUCGGUGCGGUGUGGUCAAUGUGGUCAACGACCGAUUUCCAUCGGGAGAGUACUGUACAUGGAGAGGCUGACAGCUGGGUCCACGACAUCCGCAAGGAAGUGCCUCCUUAUUAUGCAGAAAAUAAUUAUUCCUCCAGCUGACAGCAGGGACCCACUGGACGGGCCACCAGUAUUUCGCGAAAAAAAACAUUUCCCCCUGACUGCUGGGACCCACCAGAAGGGCCACCGUAUUUCACGAAAAAAACGUUCCCCCCGCUGUCAGCUCGGACCCACCAGAAGUGCCUCCUUAUUACGCACAAAAAAUGAAUACCCCCCUGCUAGCUGGGACCCACCUCGAUGGGAGGCUGACUUGUGGGCCUACUAAGUUGACUGGGACGGAGGCCUUUGUCAACUUUAGUCAAUAUAUGAACGAUUCUAGCUCCAAUGACCGUACGAUGUCCAUCCAACGGCCGUAGUGCUUCUUCAACCUCUGGUCUUCUCGCUCCAGCCGCCCAAAGCAGCAUCGGUCAUGCCGCAUGCUCCUACCACCAGUGGCCGACUGUGAUGCCGCGGAGGCCUCACUGCCCCCUACUACUCUCACCGCUGGCCAGGUCAUCCCUCUACUCACCCACACCCCCUGUUAUUCUGCGGCGACGGCAGCGUCACACCGCAGCCGAACGAGUGAACCCUCAUACUCCUCUACGCGUGGGCAUCCACUACUGCGUCUUCCCCGACUCCGCGUCGUCCCCUUCCUAGCCUCACUGUCGUCCACCGCCCUGGUGCUCUCGGCGCGGUGUGGUCAACGUGGUCAAGGAACGACUUUCAUCAGACGUGGACUGUAUGUGGAGAGGCUGACAGCUGGGUCCACGGCCACAGCAAGGAAGUGCCUCCUUAUUAUGCGGAAAAUAAUGAUUCCUCCAACUGACAACAGGGCCCCUCCAGACGGGCCACCGUAUUUCAUGGAAAAAACAUUUCCCCCUGACUACUGGGACCCACCAGCUACAUCUUCGCACGCAAGGAAGUGCCUGACAGUCGGGACCCACCUGGUCGAAGCGUACGUAGCAUUGUCAUUCUGGUCGAGAACAUGUACGUACAUAUAUACUGGUCGAUGUAGAGGCGCGCACGUAGCAUGUACACGUAUGUAUAGCGUCCAGUGUGCAAGAAAGAAAAUACGGCCACGUAUGUGUACAUAUGGGCAGGGUCUCGAACGCCUACUCCCGCAUAUGUACGGCCAGGGCUUGUGUACAUGGCUGGGCCGGAACGGAGAAACAACAUCGUCGUCGUGUUCAUGGGGAGCCAACCGGCUGGGUCGGAACGGAAUGCGUAGUCGUGUUCAUCGGGAGGGCUUGGACAGAACAGGCGAUGGAAACGAGGCCUGGCGUACCACAGAAUGGAGGAACCGACCUUGUGUUCGACCGGCCACGUUCAAAAUGGGAUCCUGUUCAUCAAGAGGGGUCGGGCGUACCGCAAAACGGAGGAAACGGACCUCCUACGGUCGAAACAGGGGUCCUAUUGAUUGGGAGGGGUGUGGCAUACCGCAAAACGGAUGAAACAGACUUGUGUUGGAGUGCUACGGUUGAAACGGGAGUCCUGUUCAUCGGGAGGGGUGUGGCGUACCGCAAAACGGGACUCCAUGCGAUACUGUUCAUCUCCACCGUCGACCUCCUCCAGCCUCCACCUGCGACUGUUCAUCCACGGGCUCCUUUUCAUCCAACCUCCACCACGUGCUACUCCACCGGCUACUGUUCAACCACCCCUCUCCACGGGCUCCUGUUCAACCACCCCUCCACGGGCUACUGUUCAUCCACCCCUCCAUCAUCUACUGUUCAUCUAGCCCACCACGGGGUCGUCCUGUUCAUCCAGCCCUCCACGGGGUCCUGUUCAUCCAGCCCCAACCGGCUCGAUCGAUCGGGGUCCUCUUCAUCCAGAGGCAACGCCACGGGUCCUGUUCAUNNNNNNNNNNNNNNNNNNNNNNNNNNNNNNNNNNNNNNNNNNNNNNNNNNNNNNNNNNNNNNNNNNNNNNNNNNNNNNNNNNNNNNNNNNNNNNNNNNNNNNNNNNNNNNNNNNNNNNNNNNNNNNNNNNNNNNNNNNNNNNNNNNNNNNNNNNNNNNNNNNNNNNNNNNNNNNNNNNNNNNNNNNNNNNNNNNNNNNNNNNNNNNNNNNNNNNNNNNNNNNNNNNNNNNNNNNNNNNNNNNNNNNNNNNNNNNNNNNNNNNNNGAUCGGCUUCAGUUAGCAGCAGUAGCGAAGGAAUCGCUCAAUCGGGUUCAGUUCACAGCCAUCCAUCGAUCGCUCGGGUUCAGUAAUGCGUAGCCUGCAAUGCAAUCGCUCGGGUUCAGUUAGAGCCCAAUGCCCCACUCGGGUUCAGUUAGAGCCAACGCCUCGCACACACGCGCGUACGUGUACAAGAGAAACGCGCAUCGCUCAGCCCCCGACCACCCAUCGUAACCGGGAACUCCCCAAAAUUUUCCUCGCCCUCACUUCUACCACGGUAUUUUCCGUCAUGGACGGCCCAAAGAAUGUCAUGCAGCUGCGUCUCCGGCCCGCCCAGGACGAAAAGCCCAUUUUCUGUCAUCAUUUUUUGUCAUAGAAGUAGGAGCCCACCACAUCUAUGAUGAUACCCGGUUUUGUCACAAUUAUCGUCAUAGAAGUGUCAUACGUAUGACAGGAAAAAAAUUCGUUCGGCCCAAAAUGUCACGGAUGUGUCUUUUCUUUGCAGUGCAUGUCCUCAGGAACAAACGUAACUACUCACAAAUCAUAUUCAUGUUCAUAAUCAGAGGAAUAUUAAUAUGCAUUAAGGAUCUGAACAUAUGAUGUUCGACCGAAUAAACCAACUAGCAUCAACUACAAGGAGUAAUCAACACUACUAGCAACCCACAGGUACCAAUAUGAGGUUUUGAGACAAAGAUCGAUACAAGAGAUGAACUAGGGUUUGAGAGAUGGUGUUGGUGAAGAUGUUUAAGGAGAUUGACCCCUUCUCAAUGAGAGGAUCGGUUUUGAUGACGAUGGCGAUGAUUUCCCCCUCCCGGAGGGACGUUUCCCCGGCAGAACAGCUCCGCUGAAGCCCUAGAUUGGUCCUGCCAAGGUUCCGCCUCGAGACGGCAGCGCUUCAUCCCGAAAGUUUCCUUAUGAUUUUUUCCAGGGCAAAAGACACCAUAUAGAAGAAUAUGGGCAUCGGGGGCCUGUCAGGUGGCCCACGAGGCAGGGGCCGCGCCCUGCACCCUCGUGGCUGGUGGGUGGCCCCCCUCUGGUGCUUUCUUCACCCAAUAUUUUUAAUAUAUUCCAAAACUGACUUUCAUGGAGUUUCAUGACUUUUGGAGUUGUGCCGAACAGGUCUCUAAUAUUUGCUCCUUUUCCAGCCCAGAAUUCCAGUUGCCGGCAUUCUCCCUCCUCGUGUAAACCUUAUAAAAUAAGAGAGAAAAGGCAUAAGUAUUGUGACAUAAUGUGUAGUAACAACCCAUAAUGCAAUAAAUAUUGAUAUAAAAGCAUGAUGCAAAAUGGACGUAUCACUCUCUAAUUACCAAAACAUUUGUCAGACAUAUAAAAAGGUUCCUUCAUCCUUUUUUGGGUGGCUUGUACUGUUGCCUAAUGAUCUUUCCUUUUAAUAGAUAAAAAUGCUUAUAAUCAUAAUAUUUUGGGUGUGGGCAUGUAACAAAUUUAGUAAGAUUGAUUUAUGUGUGCAUUGUUAUCUUCCAACAAAAAACCUCUGAACUGUGCCUAGCAGAACAUAAUGUUCAAUGUAUUUCUUCUAUGAUACCACCACAUUGUAACAAGUAAUUAUACAUCGCUGCAAUUCAUCCAUAGUUUUGUUGAACUUCUAUUUUUCUUGUUCAAAAUUUAACUGUAUUUCAAUGUUUGUUCUUCUACAUCAGGUAAUGCUUGUUGGAACUGGAGUCUUUGUUAUCUUGGUCAAGAUUUUGCACAUGGUUAGUAUAUGCAGUCUUCACUUUAUCUACUUUAUCUUCUACUCUGAAGAUUUAUCAGCUCAAGUGGGCAGAUUAGAAGUUCAGCCAUGUUUUUGCCAUUGUUAGGAUGCUGGUCAUUUUAGGCAUGGACGCACAUGGCCACAUGCCCCCCAUCUUUGGGCGCCGAGCUUGUUGUCCCAUCAUGCAUCUUGAUGGUGUGCCGCUCAAUUUAGCCUAGGUAAUUGAGGGAGUCCUAGAUUAGGGGGUGUCCGGAUGGCCGGACUAUGACCUUUGGCCGGACUCCCGGACUAUGAAGAUACAAGAUUGAAGAUUUCGUCCCAUGUCUGGAUGGGACUUUCCUUGGCGUGGAAGGCAAGCUUGGCGAUACGAUAUGAAGAUCUCCUCCCAUUGUAACCGACUCUGUGUAACCCUAUCCCUCUUCGGUGUCUAUAUAAACCGGAGAGUUUUAGUCCGUAGGACAAACAACAAUCAUACCAUAGGCUAGAUUCUAGGGUUUAGCCACUCCGAUCUCGUGGUAGAUCUACUCUUGUACUACCCAUAUCAUCAAUAUUAAUCAAGCAGGAGUAGGGUUUUACCUCCAUCGAGAGGACCCGAACCUGGGUAAAAACAUCGUGUCCCUUGUCUCCUGUUACCAUCCGCCUAGACUCACAGUUCAGGACCCCCUACCCGAGAUCCGCCGGUUUUGACACCGACAUUGGUGCUUUCAUUGAGAGUUCCUCUGUUUCGUCGCCUUUUAGGCCUGAUGGCUUCUUCGCUCGUCAACCACGACGCGGUCCGGGAUGAGACUUUUCUCCCCGGAUAGAUCUUCGUAUUCGGUGGCUUCACACUGCGGGCUGACUCAUUCGGCCAUCUGGAGCAGAUCAAGAGCUACGCCCCUGGCCAUCAGGUCAGGUUUGGAAGCUUGAACUACACGGCCGACAUCCGCGGGGACUUGAUCUUCGACGGUUUCGAGCCACAACCAGGCGCGCCGCACUGUCAUGAUGGGCACGAUUUAGCUCUGUCAUCGGACAACGCCCAGAGCGUCGCUCAGGUGUCCACUCCGACCAUUAGCUCGGAGCCCACUACGCCAGUCACGGACAGACGGUUAGACGCCACCCCGGAAACUGCAAUCUCUACAGCGAUAGAGCCGGAUAGCAGCCUAGUCCCUCGCAGGGCCCGUGACUCUGAGGUGCCGGACUCCGAUCCGGACUCCGUAAAUCCCGCACCUCUCCCGGUUAAGCCCGAUUGGGUUCCGGUCAUGGAGUUCACCACCAUGGAUGUCUUUCAGCACUCACCUUUCGGCAACAUCCUGAAUUUGUUAAAGUCUCUCUCUUUGUCAGGAGAGCCCUGGUCGGACUACGGCCAACACGGUUGGGACACGGACGACGAAGAAAUUUGUAGCCCACCCACCACCCACUUUGUAGCCACUGUCGACGAUUUAACCGACAUGCUCGACUUCGACUCCGAAGACAUCGACGGCAUGGACGCCGAUGAAGGAGACGAUCAAGAACCAGUGCCUAUAGGGAACUGGAAAGCCACCUCGUCAUACGACAUAUACAUGGUGGACACCCCUAAAGCGGGGGAUGGCAAGGAGAAAACGGAGGGUGACCCCUCCAAGAAGCAACCCAAGCGCCGACGUCAGCGGCGCCGCUCUAAGUCCCGCCAAAGCAAAAACGGCGAUUCCGGCACCGGAGAUAACAAUACGCCGGACAGUGCCAAAGACAACCCCCUCCAGCAGGAUUCAGUGCAGGAGAACGAAGGAGCCAGCCCUCGUGAGAGAGCGGCCGACAAAGAGGAUGAGGACGACAAUUACAUGCCUCCCUCCGAAGACGAGGCAAGCCUCGACGAUGAUGAAUUCAUCGUGCCAGAGGAUCCCGUCGAGCAAGAGCGUUUCAAACACAGACUCGUAGCCACGGCAAGCAGCCUCAAGAAGAAACAGCAGCAGCUUAGAGCUGACCAAGACUUGCUAGCCAACAGAUGGACCGAAGUCCUGGCGGCCGAAGAGUAUAAACUAGAACGCCCAUCCAAGAGCUACCCGAAGCGCAGGCUGCUUCCCCAACUUGAGGAGGAAGCAACUAAACCUACAUCACCAGUGUACGAUGUGCCCGAUCGGCCACCCCGUGGCCAUGAUAGAGAGGCCUUCAGGCCCUCGACCCAAGGCGCACCCCGACACCGCUCAAAACAUACCAGAGUCUGGGGAGACGCAACAGACCUGCGAGACAUCUUGGAGAAUAAGGCAAGGCAAACAAGAUCGAUCUACGGAUCGCAUGGGCGCCCUGCUUCACGUGACGCUAGCCGUCAUGCCGGACAUAAUAAGUAUGGCCCGGCCGAAUACAACAGACCAAGCUCGUCCGAGCUGCGUCGCGAUAUAGCUCAGUACAGUGGCGCCGCACACCCACUAUGCUUCACAAACGAAGUAAUGGAUCAUCAAAUCCCCGAGGUCUUCAAACCCGUAAACAUCGAAUCAUACGAUGGCACAACAGAUCCUGCAGUAUGGAUCGAGGAUUAUCUCCUUCACAUCCACAUGGCCCGUGGCAAUGAUCUACACGCCAUCAAAUACCUCCCGCUCAAGCUUAAAGGACUAGCACGGCAUUGGCUUAAUAGCCUGCCAGCAGAGUCAAUCAGUUGUUGGGAGGACCUGGAAUCCGCAUUCCUUGACAACUUCCAGGGCACGUAUGUGCGACCACCAGACACCGAUGACCUAAGCCACAUAAUCCAGCAACCAGAGGAAUCGGCCAGACAAUCCUGGACAUGGUUCCUGACAAAGAAAAACCAAAUAGUCGAUUGUCCGGACGCUGAGGCCCUCGCAGCCUUCAGGCACAACAUCCGAGACGAAUGGCUUGCCCGGCACCUAGGACAGGAAAAGCCGAAGUCUAUGGCAGCCCUCACGACACUCAUGACCCGCUUCUGCGCGGGAGAAGAUAGCUGGCUAGCUCGUACCAAUAACAUAAGCAAGAGCCCCGGCAAUUCGGAUACCAAGGAUAACAACGGCAGGUCACGCCGCAACAAGCAUAAGCGUCGCAUUAACGGUGACAAUACUGAAGAUACGGCAGUCAAUGCCGGAUUCAGAGGCUCUAAACCGGGUCAGCGGAAGAAGCCAUUCAAACGAAACCCUCAGGGCCCAUCCAGCUUAGACCGGAUACUUGAUCGCUCGUGCCAGAUACACGGCACCCCCGAACAGCCAGCCAACCACACCAACAGAGAUUGUUGGGUGUUCAAGCAGGCAGGCAAGAUAAGCGCCGAGACCAGAGACAAGGGGCUACAUAGCGAUGACGAGGUGGGGCCCGGCCGCCGAACAACAAAGGACAGAAGGGAUUUCCCCCACAAGUUCGGACGGUGAAUAUGAUAUACGCAACCCACAUCCCCAAAAGGGAGCGGAAGCAUGCUCUCAAGGACGUCUAUGCGCUGGAGCCAGUUGCCCCAAAGUUCAACCCAUGGUCCUCCUGCCCGAUCACUUUCGAUCGACGGGACCAUCCCACCAGCAUCCGUCACGGCAGAUUCACCGCACUGGUCCUAGACCCAAUUAUCGACGGAUUUCACCUUACCAAAGUCCUAAUGGACGGCGGCAGUAGCCUGAACCUGCUUUACCAGGACACAGUGCGAGAAAUGGGCAUCGAUCCUUCGAGGAUUAAACCCACAAAGACAACCUUCAAAGGUGUCAUACCAGGGGUCGAAGCCAGCUGUACAGGCUCGGUCACACUCGAGGUGGUCUUUGGAUCACCGGAUAACUUUCGGAGCGAGGAGUUAAUCUUCGACAUAGUCCCAUUCCGCAGCGGCUAUCAUGCCCUGCUCGGACGAACCGCAUUUGCAAAAUUCAAUGCGGUGCCGCACUACGCAUAUCUCAAGCUCAAGAUGCCAGGACCUCACGGAGUCAUCACGGUAAAUGGAAACACAGAACGCUCUCUCCGAACGGAGGAGCACACAGUGGCCCUGGCGGCGGAAGUACAGAGUAGCCUCUCAAGGCAGUUCUCCAAUCCAUGCGCCAAACGUCCGGACAACGUCAAGCGAGCCCGAAGUAACCUACAAAAAAUCUGGUUGGCACGUUCCGAGCAAGCAUAGCAGUGCGGCCCUGACCCCAGCCCCCGCCAAACAGCAAUGCUGGUACCACGCGUACAUAAUUACGCCUUAGAGAUACCAUGGGCAUAAGGGGAGGGUCACAACAAUGGCACGCCCAGAAUGUGGCUUAACCGCACUAGGGGGCUCCCUAUUUCGCCGUUUUCCUUUUUCACACACUUUCAGGACCCAACUAUUCGGAAGGCCUGUCCGGCAAUACUCUCGCCGAACCAACGAUGCAAUAGCCAGGGAGGAAACAAGCCACGUCAAAAGUCCAGGUGGUCUCUAUAACGAGUUUAAUACCUGUUUCUCUUACAAUCCUGCAGCUUGCCCCCGAAGGGGAAUAUGUCAAAUACUCCCAUCUCUUGCUUACCGCACUUUUUGUAUCGUUCUGCUUUCGCAACAGCCCUUUUUUUAAUGAACAAUAUAUAGCUCUUACCUAUUAUUGGACUUAUAUAUUUUUAUAUGCAAAUAUGUUCAGUCAUGACACUAUGCAACCAUACACUUUGGUACGGAUAAUACACCAGGGGCUUACAACACCCCAUAACAUGGUGUGAGAAGACCGAACACUUUAACAAGUGCGGCACCCCGAACUUAUAGCACUAUAUGCAUCGGCUCCAAAUCAUGUCUUUGGUCAAUAGUUGGGUUUGCCCGGCUCCCAUGUUUUGGUACCUUACGUUCCGCAUUGUUGGCUAAGAUAGUGUUGGGAGAACUACUGCGAUUGUGCCCCAGUUGAGCUGGGUUAACACCUCAGUAGAGAAAGCUAAAACUGACUGUCAUGAUAGUGCGAGAGACCGGUCGCUGUUCGCGAGGUUUUUUCGAGUCCUUAAAGACUUAUGCCGCUUCAAGCAAAGAACCGGACUUAUCCGGCCUAGGCGUGGAUAGCGCCCCGAACUCGGUCUUCCGAAUACUAGGGGCUUCGCCGAAAUUUAAAAUUAUAGAAUUCUAUGGCUAAGUGAGAGUGAUAAAGCAUUAUAAGUCCGACGGCCUGGUUCGAUGUGCUGAAAGCCUCCCUAGAUGGACCCAAGAAUGGGAACAAGAGCGCUUAGGUUUAUCCCGAACACCCCAGCACUCGUGGCAUGGGGGUCGAAGCCGACGACUUGCAUCUCUCAGAUUUGAUAAACGGCCGCACAGAAGGUAAUAUUUUAAAUUAACAAGUGUUGCUUAACGCAUAUGAACAAAGCUUCAGCGUACAGGAUAACAAAUGCGAGUUUACUCAAAAAUUACAUCUUUGGAGCACUCAUCCGCUAUGCGGCGGGCACCCUUCAGAACACCAUUAUAAUACAUCUCGGGCGUACGAUACUCCUUGCCCGGCGGUGGCGCGUCCGUCAAUAGCCUCUCUGCAUCUAGCUUGCCCCAGUGCACCUUAGCACGGGUAAGGGCCCGACGGGCACCUUCAAUGCAAAUGGAGCGCUUGACGACCUCAAUCCACGGACACGCGUCCACCAUCCGCCGCACCAGACCGAAGUAGCUCCCAGGCAUGACCUCUCCAGGCCACAGCAAAGCUAUGAGGCCCUUCAUGGCCUAUUCGGCCACCUUGUGGAGCUCAACCAGCUGCUUCAGCUGGUCGCUCAGGGGCACCGGAUGUUCGGCCUCAGCAUACUGAGACCAAAACACUUUUUCUGUCGAGCUCCCCUCUUCGGCUCGGUAGUAUGCGGCGGCAUCAGACACACUACGGGGCAGAUCGGCGAACGCUCCUGGAGAGCUCCGGAUUCGGGUAAGUAGCAGAUAAUUAACUUUUAUAUUUUUGCUUUGCAUAAAGAAUGCCUUACCCGCCGCUAUCUUCUUCAUCGCCUCGAUCUCCUUUAGGGCCUUUUGGGCUUCGGCCUUAGCGGUCUUGGCACUCUCAAGAGCCAAGGCAAGCUCGGACUCUCGAGUCUUCGAGUCAUGCUCCAAACUCUCGUGUUUUUCCAUGAGAGCCUGGAGCUCUUGCCGCACCUCCGCCACCCGCGCCUCCUGCUUCUCUCGCUCGGCGCGCUCCAAGGCCGCACUCUUUUCGGCCUUGGAGACCGCCUCUUUCAGGGUUGCCACCUCGGUCGUGGCUCCUGCAACAUUAACGUUGGUCCUGUUAUUAUUAUUAUGCAACCAAGUAUUUCUAUAUACAUUUACAGGAGGUACUACAUACCCUCUUUAUCCUCGAGCUGCUUCUUGGCAUGGCCGAGCUCGCUCUCGGACUGCUCGAGGCUUUCCUUCAAGGCAUUGACCUCCGCAGUCAGUGCGGCAGAGGUCAGCAGCGCAGCCUACAUUACCAUAUUGACAUAUUUCUAUUAGACUCCUGCGUAUAUCUUUUAAGAUACUCAGUUCGGCUUUUCUUUCCGAACACCGAACUAAGCAUCAAGGGCUACUGUCUAUGCGGUAACAUUUUUUAUAUAUGUUUUUGAACACAUACCUCAAAGCCCGUUAACAGGCUUGUGCAGGCUUCCGUCAGCCCGCUCUUGGCGGACUGAACCUUCUAAAUCACUGAACUCAUAACAGUGCGGUGUUCUUCGUCGAUAGAGGCGCCGUUGAGCGCCUCCAGCAAAUUGUCCGGCGCCUCCGGGUGGACGGAAGUCGCCGGCGUCGCGGACUUGCCCUUCUUGUGAAGGAGCCGCCUGUCGGGCUCUAGAACCACUGAUGGUUCCGGAGCAGUGUCCGGCCCAGGGCCGGACUUAGAUCCCUCCGGGGCUUUACCCUCUCAUGGGGCCUGGGGGUGGGAGUGAGUUGCCCUGCAUCUGGGAGCCGGUGCGCGAUGUCGUUAGACAAGUAUCCGGCCUCCCUCAGGUUUUUGAUUUGUCCCUCGUGACGAAGGAGGCCAUCCAUCUACCUCCCCCUCCUGACAUGGUUGGAGAAGGUUGAGGUGGGAAGUGCGGGCUUGGGCGCUGAAGCUCGAGCGCACAGGGACGGAUAAGCAGAGGAGGAAGAAGGCGUGAAUGGAAAGGGAAGAUUCUUAUCUCCUUAUAUGGGCGGCCAAAACUACGAGCCCCCCACCGGUCUAAUAAAACUCGCUUAUCUCCCAAGCGCCGCGGUUAAUGGCGCGGUUGGGUUACCCACGCCCGUAUUGAUGAGAAUCCCAGAAUAAGGGGACACGAUCUCUGCUUUGACAAGACGUGCCAGGGAAGCCGCCUCGCUAAACGUGCUGAGGUGGAACAAUAAAAUGAAUAAAGAGCCUGGCCGUGGCAUGAUGUCACGCCACGGAAUGCGUCAGCAGAUCUGAUUGAUGCAAAUAUUAUUCUCUCUAUGAAGGAAUGUGGAACUUAUUUUGCAGAGCCGGACACUACCCUGGUGUUCAACAUCUUCUAUGAAAUAUUCGGAGGAGGAACCCGCCUUGCAAUGCCGAAGACAACUUGCGCGCCGGACUCGUCGUCAUUGAAGCCUGGUUCAGGGGCUACUAAGGGAGUCCUCGAUUAGGGGGUGUCCGGAUGGCCGGACUAUGACCUUUGGCCGGAAUCCCGGACUAUGAAGAUACAAGAUUGAAGACUCCGUCUCGUGUCCGGAUGGGACUUUCCUUGGCAUGGAAGGCAAGCUUGGCGAUACGAUAUGAAGAUCUCCUCCCAUUGUAACCGACUCUGUGUAACCCUAGCCCUCUCCGGUGUCUAUAUAAACCGGAGAGUUUUAGUCCGUAAGACGAACAACAAUCAUACCAUAGGCUAGAUUCUAGGGUUUAGCCACUCCGAUCUCGUGGUAGAUCUACUCUUGUACUACCCAUAUCAUCAAUAUUAAUCAAGCAGGAGUAGGGUUUUACCUCCAUCGAGAGGGCCCGAACCUGGGUAAAAACAUCGUGUCCCUUGUCUCCUGUUACCAUCCGCCUAGACGCACAGUUCGGGACCCCCUACCCGAGAUCUGCCGGUUUUGACACCGACAGUAAUCUUCUCGAGAUUCAUGCCUCGGUUAAUUAUUAUUUUAUUAGAAACAUUAAUUAGGAAAACAAUAUAUGUUUUCACUCAUAGGCCAACAAAGUUUGUCUUCGUCCACCCACCAUCCAAAAUUAUUUUAAAUAUUAGGGUGGUAUCAGUGUUGGGUAGUACUACAAAUUCAUGGUGUCUUGUUACCAAAUUGACCUAUUUUCAAGUACACUAACAUACAUCCUUUGGUUCACUUAUAGGAGCAAAACAAAUGGUUAAAUAUGGAUUAUCAGCUCAAGAGCGCAGAUUAGAAGUUCGGCCAUGUUUUUUCCAUUGUUGGGAUGCUGGUCAUUUUAGGUAUGGACACACAUGGCCACCUGCCGCCCAUCGCCAUGGGCCGAGCUUUUCGUCCCAUCGUGCAUCUCGAUGGUUGAUACGUCCAUUUUGCAUCAUGUUUUCUUACUGUUAUUUAUGUUGUUUUAUUGUAUAAUAAUGCUUUGGAGUAAUUCUAGUGCCUUUUCUCUCAAAAUGUGCAAGGUAUGUACCAAGGGGGAGAAUUCUGGCAGCUAGAAAUCUGGACCUGAAAAAGCUACGUCAAGCUACCUAUUCUGCACAACUCCAAAUGAGCUGAAACUCCCCGAGGAUUUUUUAUGGAAUAUUUAAGGAAUAUUGGAGCAAAUAAGUACCACAUGAGGGCCACCAGGUGGGCACAACCCACCUGGGCGCGCCAGGAGGCCCAAGCGCGCCCUAGUGGGUGCUGCCCUCCUCGGCCCACCUCUAGUGCCCAUCUUCUGGUAUAUAAUUCAUUUUGACCUAGAAAAAAAUAAGGAGAGGACAUUCGGGACGAAGCACUGCCGCUUCGAGGCGGAACUUGGGCAGGAGCACUUUUGCCCUCCGGCAGACCGAUUCCACCGGGGAAACUUCCCUCCCGGAGGGGGAAAUCAUCAUCAUCAUCACCAACAACUCUCUCAUCUUGGGGAGGGCAAUAUUCAUCAACAUCUUCAUAGCACCAACUCCUCUCAAACCCUAGUUCAUCUCUUGCGUUCAAUCUUUGUAUCAAAACUAUAGAUUGGUGCCAGUGGGUGACUACUAGUGUUGAUUACAUCUUGUAGUUGAUUACUAUAUGGUUUAUUUGGUGGAAGAUUAUAUGUUCAGAUACAUUAUGCUAUUCAACACCCCUCUGAUCUUGAGCAUGUUUAUCAUUUGUGAGUAGUUACUUUUGUUCUUGAGGUCACGGGAGAAAUCAUGUUGCAAGUAGUCAUGUGAACUUGAUAUGUGUUCGAUAUUUUGAUGGUAUGUAUGUUGCCAUUCUCUUAGUGGUGUCAUGUGAACGUCGACUACAUGACACUUCACCAUAUUUGGGCCUAAGGGAAUGCAUUGCGGAGUACUUAUUAUAUGGUGGGCUGCGAGAGUGACAGAAGCUUAAACCCUAGUUUAUGCGCUAUUCCAUAAGGGGCCGAUUGGAUCCAAAAGGUUUAUGCUAUGGUUAGAAUUUAUUCUUAAUACUUUUCUCAUAGUUGCGGAUGCUUGCGAGAGGGUUAAUCAUAACUAGGAGGUUUUUUAAAGAAAGAACAUAAACUAAGCACCGGUCCACCCACAUAUCAAAUUAUCAAAGUACCGAACACGAAUUAAGCCAACAUGAUGAAAGUGACUAGAUGAAAUUCCCGUGUACCCUCAAGAACACUUUGCUUAUCAUAAGAAACCGUUUUGGCCUGUCCUUUGCCUCAAAAGGAUUGGGCUACCUUUCUGCACUUUUGUUACUACUAUUGCUACUUGCUCGUUACAAAUUGGCUUGCUACCAAACUACUCCGCUACUUACAAUUUUAGCACUUCCAGACAUUACCUUGCUGAAAACCACUUGUCAUUUCCUUAUGCUCCUCGUUGGGUUCGACACUCUUAACCCCAUACACUUGUGGGUCAUCAAGGCGAUUUUCUGGUUCCAUUGCCGGGGAGUGAAGCACUCUUGGUAAGUGGAAAUUGGUAAGGAAACAUUAUUACUAUGUGCUGAAAUUUAUUGCCACUUGCUACUAUGGAAAACAAUCCUUUGAGGGGUUUGUUCGGGGUAUCUUCACCUCGACCAGAACCACAAUUAGUUACCUCUCAACCUAUUGCACCUACUGAAAAUAUUGAAUAUGAAAUUCCUUCGAGUAUGUUAGAACAACUGCUAGCAAAUCCUUAUGGAGGAGAUGGAACCGAACAUCCUGAUAUGCACUUGAUAUAUGUGGAUGAAAUUUGUGGAUUAUUUAAGCUUGCAGGUUUACCUGGAGAUGAAGCUAACAAGAAGUUUUCCCUUUCUCUUUGAGGGUAAAAUCAUUGACAUGGUAUAGGCUAUGCGAUGAUAUUGGGUCUUGGAACUGGAACCGUUUGAAAUUGGAAUUUCAUCAGAAAUUUUAUCCUAUGCAUCUAGUUCAUCGUGAUCGGAAUUAUAUAUAUAAUUUUUGGCCUCGUGAGGAGAAAGUAUCGCUCUAGCUUGGGGGAGGCUUAAGUCAAUGUUAUAUUGAUGCCCCAAUCAUGAGCUCUCGAGAGAAAUUAUUAUCCAGAACUCUUAUGCUCGGCUUUCUUGUAAUGAUCAAAUCAUGCUCAAUACUUCUUGUACUGGUUCUUUUAUGAAGAAGACUACUGAAGACUAGGAACUCAAUGAAGGUAAAGAGUCAGGUAUUGAACCUAAGUUUGAUUGUGUUAAAACUUUUAUGAAUACCUAUGCCUUUUCAAAGUUUAGCACUAAAUAUGGACUUGACUCUGAGAUAGUAGCUUCCUUUUGUGAAUCUUUUGCUACUCAUGUUGAUCUCCCUAAGGAGAAGUGGUUUAAGUACCACCCACCAACUAAAGAAGAAAUUAAAGAACUAGUAAAAGCUAAAGAAGAAACUAUUAUUUACAAUGUUGAUCCAGUUGUUCCCACUCCUUAUAUUGAAAACCCACCUUUUCCUCUUAGGAUGAAGGAACGUGCUAAAUCUUCAACUGUGGUUAAAAAAAGUUAUGUUAGAACAUUCAAACCUUAUGAACAAAUCAAAGUUGAACCUAGUAUUGCUAUGGUUAAAGAUCUCUUAGUUGAUAAUAUUGAUGGGCAUGUUAUUUACUUCUGUGAUGAAGCUUAUAGAAUUGCUAAACCUGAAGGAAAAGAUAAACAUAGACCAGUUGUUUGCAUGCCUGUUGUCUCAGUUAAGAUAGGAGAUCACUAUUAUCAUGGGUUAUAUGAUGUAAGUGCUAGUGUGAGUGAUAUUCCCUUCUCCUUAUAUCAAGAAAUUAAAGAUGAAAUAAGACUUGCUGAAAUAGAAGACAUAGGUGUUACUAUUGAACAUGCUAAUAGAGAUACUAUAUCACCAAUUGGGAUUCUUAGAGAUGUUGAAGUCUUGUGUGGGAAGAUAAAAUACCCUACUAAUUUUCUUCUUCUUACCACCCCACAAGAUGAAUUUUGUCCCAUUAUAUUUGGUAGACCUUUCUUGAACACCGUCAAUGCAAAAAUAGAUUGUAAGAAACAAACUACCGGUGUUAGCUUUGGUGAUGAAUCUCAUGAGUUUAAUUUUUCCAAGUUUAGUAAACAACCUCAUAAGAAAGAUUUGCCUGGUAAGGAUUAAAUUAUUGGUCUUGCUUAUAUUGUUGUGCCUCCUACUGAUCAUUUGGAACAAUAUUUGAAAAUGAUUUGCACAUGCGUGAGAGAAAUGAAAUAGACAAAAUAUUUUUCGAACAACAACCUCUGCUUAAACACAAUUUGCCUAUUGAAACUCUAGGAGGUCCUCCUCCACCUAAAGGUGAUCAUGUGUUUGAAGUAAAACAAUUGCCAGACACCCUGAAAUAUGCUUAUAUUGAUGAAAAGAAGAUAUAUCCUGUUAUUAUCAGUGCUAACCUUUUAGAACAUGAAGAAGAAAGAUUAUUGAAAGUUCUAAGGAAGCACAGGGCUGCUAUUGGAUAUACUCCUGACGAUCUUAAGGGCAUUAGUCCAACUCUAUGUCAGCACAAGAUCAAUAUGGAACCUGAUGCUAAACCCGUUGUUGAUCACCAACGUCGGUUAAAUCCGAAAAUGAAAGAAGUGGUAAGAACGGAAAUAUUGAAACUUCUGGAAGCAGGUAUAAUCUAUCCUAUAACUGAUAGUAGAUGGGUAAGUCAUGUUCAUUGUGUCCCUAAGAAGGGAGCUAUUACUGUUGUUCCUAAUGAUAAGAAUGAGUUUAUUUCACAAAGAAUUGUUAAGGGCUACAGAAUGGUAAUUGAUUAGAGAAAAAUAAAUAAAGCUAUUAGAAAAGAUCAUUACCCUCUGCCUUUUAUUGAUAAAAUGUUAGAAAGACUAUCUAAGCAUACACAUGUUUGCUUCCUUGAUGGAUACUCUGGCUUUUCACCAAUACCUAUUUUACAAUCUGAUCAAGAAAAGACCACUUUUACUUGUCCUUUUGGAAUAUUUGCUUAUAGACGUAUGCCUUCUGGUUUAUCUAAUGCACCUGCUACCAUUCAAAGAUGUAUGACUGCUAUAUUCUCUGAUUUUUGUGAAAAGAUUGUUGAGGUUCUCAUGGAUGAAUUUUCUGUUUAUGGGAAGUCUUUUGGUGAUUGUUUAAGCAAUCUUGAUCGAGUUUUGCAGAGAUGUGAACAAACAAAUCUUGUCUUGAAUUGGGAGAAGUGCCACUUUAUGGUUAAUGAAGGUUUGUCUUGGGCCACAAAAUUUCUAAAAGAGGCAUUGAGGUGGACAAAGCCAAGGUUGAUGCAAUUGAGAAAAUGCCAUGUCCUAAAGAUAUCAAAGGUAUUCGUAGUUUCCUUGGUCAUGCUGGUUUCUAUAGAAGGUUUAUCAAAGACUUCUCUAAAAUUUCUAGGCCCCUUACUAAUCUUUUGUAAAAGGAUACUCCCUUUGUGUUUGAUGAUGAUUGUAUGGAAGCCUUUGAAACACUAAAGAAAGCCUUAAUCACUUCACAUGUUGUUCAACCACUUGAUUGGAACUUGCCUUUUGAGAUUACGUGUGAUGCCAGUGAUUAUGUUGUUGGUGUUGUUCUAAGACAAAGAGUUGAUAAGAAACUAAAUGCUAUUCAUUAUGCUAGUAAAACUCUAGACAGUGCUCAACAAAACUAUGCUACUACUGAAAAAUAAUUCUUAGCAGUGGUGUUUGCUUGCGAUAAAUUUAGAUCUUACAUUAUUGAUUCUAAAGUAAUUGUUCACACUGAUCACGCUGCUAUAAAAUAUAUUAUGGAAAAUAAAGAUGUUAAACCUGGACUCAUUAGGUUGGGUUCUUCUGCUACAAGAAUUUGAUUUGCAUAUUACUGACAGGAAAGGAGCAGAGAACCCCGUAGCUGAUAACUUGUCUAGACUUGAAAAUAUUCUUGAUGACCCACAACCUAUUAAUGAUAGCUUCCCUGAUGAACAGCUAGCUGCAAUAAAUGUUUCUCAUAGUACACCUUGGUAUGCAGACUAUGCUAAUUAUAUUGUUGCAAAAUACAUACCACCUAGCUUCACAUACCAACAAAAGAAAAAAUCUUCUUUGAUUUAAGACAUUACUUUUGGGAUGACCCACAUCUUUAUAAAGAAGGAGUAGAUGGUAUUAUUAGAUGUUGUGUACCUGAGCAUGAACAGGAACAAAUCCUACGGAAAUGUCACUCCAAAGCUUAUGGAGGACAUCACGUGGGAGACAUAACCGCUCAUAAGGUAUUGCAAUGUGGUUUUUAUUGGCCCACUCUCUUCAAAGAUGCCCGUAAGUUUGUCUCAUCUUGUGAUGAAUGCCAAAGAAUAGGUAAUAUUGGUAAGCGUCAAGAAAUGCCUAUGAAUUAUUCACUUGCUGUUGAACCAUUUGAUGUUUGGGGAUUUGACUUUAUGGGACCUUUUCCUUCCUCUAAUGGGUAUAUACAUAUUUUGGUUGCUGUUGAUUAUGUUACUAAGUGGAUAGAAGCUAUUCCAACCAGUAGUGAUGAUCACAAUACCUCUAUUAAAAUUCUUAAGGAAGUUAUUUUCCCAAGGUUUGGAUUCCCUAGAUAUUUAAUGAUUGAUGGUGGUCCACACUUUAUUCAUGGUGCUUUCUGUAAGAUGCAUGCUAAGUAUGAUGUUAAACAUAGAAUUGUGUCACCUUAUCAUCCUCAGUCUAGUGGUCAAGUUGAACAUAGCAAUAGAGAAAUAAAACUACUCCUGCAAAAGACUGUUAAUAGGUCCCGGAAGAAUUGGUUUAAUGAAUUAGAUGGUGCACCUUGGGCUUAUAGAACAGCAUACAAAAAUCCUAUGGAUAUCUCUCCAUAUAAAAUGGUUUAUGGAAAAGCUUGUCAUUUACCUCUUGAGUUAGAACACAAUGCAUUUUGGCUAAUAAAAGAACGUAAUUAUGAUUUCAAACUUGCUGGAGAAAAGAGGUUAUUUGAUAUUAUCUCAUUAGAUGAAUGGAGAACCCAGGCUUAUAAAAAUGCUAAGUUAUUCAAAGAAAAAGUUAAAAGAUGGCAUGACAAAAGAAUCCAAAAGCAUGAGUUCAAAGUCGGAGAAUAUGUUCUUUUGUACAAUUCUCAUUUCAGAUUUUUUGCAGGAAAACUCCUCUCCAAAUGGGAAGGACCCUAUGUCAUCGAGGAGGUUUACCCAUCCGGAGCUAUCAAAAUAGAUAAUGUCGAAGGGACUAACCCGAAGGUCGUCAAUGAGCAACGAAUAAAACACUAUAUCUCAGGUACGCCCAUUAAUGUAGAAAGCAAUGUUAUCCAAAUUUUGACACCGAAAGAACACAUAAGAGAGUCCUUCCAGAACACUCUAGGAUCAUGAAAAUAAGGAGGUACGUGAUACGGUAAGUAAACGGACUCUGAAAAAUUCACAAAAAUGUAUUUUGUCAGCUUUGGAAUAUUUAGAAAAAUAGGAAAAAAAGAAACUUCCAGGAAAGUGACCCUGGUGGGCACGAUACACUAGGGCGCGCCAGGCAUGCCUGGCGCGCCCAGGUGGGUUGUGUCCACCUCGAGUACUUUUCGGUAUCCAUUUUUCUUCUGUUCUGCUUGUUCUCCAAGAUAAACAAUCUAUAUAUACCUCCCGAACCUGUUAACCUUUGUAUCGUGGAGAAAUCUCUUGUUUUCUUUUCUUGCUGUUUUCUGUCAGAUCUGUUGACCCAGGCAUCAUGUCUUCUCCCUCCUCCAACACUAAAGAAGGCGAAGCUUGGUUGCUUCAGGUAGAAUCCAGGGAAGAGGAAUCUGAAGAGAUCGUUAUGGAGGAAGAUGAGGGGGAAUCAUUUGGGAUUCACCCUCCGGCCUCUGAGAGAGGGACUCUGGCUGGCAUCUCCACUCAUCCUAACCCCCAUCAAGCCAUGAGGCCCCUAAACAAUCAAGAGGGCCCAAGAGAUCAUGAAGAACUCCCUACAAGGAGGACUCUACACAGGUUACAUUGAAACAAUUUUCACAAUUUGAUUCAUAAGUAUGGGUUCGAAAACACUCCACAUGUGCAUAUAACAUCCAAUUGGGACAUAUCUUGUCCAAGAGAAAGUGAUGCAGGGACAAACUCUUGGGGUCCAGAAAAUAAGCAUAUCAUGGCUGGAGUAGAGAAUAACACUGAGCUGCUCCAUCAAGCUCUUCAAGAGAUUCAUAGCUUAAGAGAUAUGCUCAGAGAUAUAUUGGACAAAAUUGCUUCUACUUCAUCACCACCAAAAGAAAACUGAGUAUUGGGUAUGGGCACUCCGCUUGGAUUUCGCCAAGCAUGGGGGAGGUGCCCCGGUAUCGUAUCAUCUCCAUUAUCAUUUGCCUUUACUUUCUUAGUUUGAUCAAUGGUUAUCUUUUGCUAUUAGAUGAAUAAAAGUUUAGUUCGAUCCUUUCUUUUUCUGAGUUUGCUUAGUGAUCAAUCUUUGUAAUCGUGUGUGAGAUAUAAUUAAAUUAGUUUGAGUUUUGCCUUCUUUACUUUCUUGAUGCAAUAAAAAUAAAGGAAAUAAAAGAAAAAGAUCAUAUUCUAAUCUUAUGGUAAGUGAUGACAUUACACAAGGAAAAGUAUAAGUACAAAACUUUAUUGUAGAUUGACAAACAUGGCAUACGUCAAUGAUGCAACACAUGAAAGAAUUAAUAAGGGAAGAGAAGAUUCACAUAUAAAUACACUAUCAUGGAAAUCUUUUGUAAUUGUGAGCACCCAUAAAAAUAUUAUAUGCCAAAAUUGUUGACGUUGGACAAGGAAGACAACCUAAUGAUUUAUGUGUGUUCAUAUUCACAUAAAAGUCAUAUUGUCAUAGAUCCUUCAACAUGUGGUGCUUGCCCCUAUCUUCGCUAGCCAAAAAUUCCGCACUAAGUAGAGAUACUACUUGUGCAUCCAAAACCCUUAAACCCUAUCUUCUUUGAGAGUCCACCAUACCUACCUAAGGAUUGAGUAAGAUCCUUCAAGUAAGUUGUCAUCGGUGCAAAAAGGGCAAUAAAAUUUGCUUAUAAAAAUGUGAGAUCAUUUAGUGUAAGGGAAAAUUGAGCGUUGUACGAACUUGUGAUGGUGAAGAAUAAAAGCGACAGACCGCAUAAUAAAGGUUGCCAUCACAAGGGGCAAUAUAACGUGGCGUUCUCUUGCACUAAGGAGUUGAGCAUACAAACAAAAAGCGCAUGGAAACCUCUGCUUCCCUCUGUGAAGGGACUAUCUUUUACUUUCAUGUAUUUACUUUCAUGCAAGAGUCAAAGUUUUUCUCUCUAUUCCUUUUAUUUUUCUCCUUUGUCAAGCAUCAUGUGGUGAGGAAAGAUCUAGGCACAUAUUUCCAGUUGAAUAUGGAUAGCAUGAGUUAUUAUUGUUGACAUCACCCUUGAGGUGAGUGUGUUGGGAGGUGAAACUAUAAUUCCCUAUCUUUCUUUGUGUUCGGUUGAAACAUUUUGCUCAAGUGUACGUGGUGAGUGUUAGCAAUCAUAGAAGACUAAAUGAUGGUUGAGUAUGUGGACUUGCCUAAAGGCUCUGAUACGUGACCUUCUUGAAAAGAUGAUGAAUUGUAGUUGCAAAGUUGACUGAGAACAUAGUUUGUUGGUUUCCAAUAGAGUUUAUGCUUUAUACUUCAUUGUUGUGAUGAAUUGUCACUUGCUCAUGAGAAGUCUAUGAUAAAAGUUAUAUAAUAAAAGUUUUAUACUGAAGUUUGUUGUUGUUAUAAUAAGUCACAUGAUGCUGCUAUGUGCGUAUUUUUCUUUUUAUCGACACCUCUCUCUCUCUCUAAGCAUGUGAACAUGUUUUUCGAUUUCGGUUUUCGCUUGAGGACAAGCGACGUCUAAGCUUGGGGGAGUUGAUACGUCCAUUUUGCAUCAUGUUUUCCUACUGUUAUUUUUUUUUUAUUGUAUAAUAAUGCUUUUUGGAGUAAUUCUAAUGCAUUUUCUCUCAUAAUAUGCAAGGUAUGUACCAAGGGGGAGAAUUCUGGCAGCUGGAAAUCUGGACUUGAAAAAGCUACGUCAAGCUACCUAUUCUGCAUAACUCCAAAUGAGCUGAAACUCCCUGAGGAUUUUUUAUGGAAUAUUUAAGGAAUAUUGGAGCAAAUAAGUACCAGAGGAGGGCCACCAGGUGGGUAGUACCAAAGGAGGGCCACCAGGUGGGCACAACCCACCUGGGCGCGCCAGGAGGCCCAGCCGCGCCCUGGUGGGUGCUGCCCUCCUCGGCCCACCUCUGGUGCCCAUCUUCUGGUAUGUAAGUCAUUUUGACCUAGAAAAAAAUAAAGAGAGGACAUUCGGGACGAAGCGCCACCGCCUCGAGGCGAAACUUGGGCAGGAGCACUUUUGCCCUCUGGCAGAGCGAUUCUGCCGGGGGAACUUCCCUCCUGGAGGGGGAAAUCAUCAUCAUCAUCAUCACCAACAACUCUCCCAUUUUGGGGAGGGCAAUCUUCAUCAACAUCUUCACAGCACCAACUCCUCUCAAACCCUAGUUCAUCUCUUGCGUUCAAUCUUUGUAUCAAAACUAUAGAUUGGUGCCCGUGGGUGACUAGUAGUGUUGGUUACAUCUUGUAGUUGAUUACUAUAUGGUUUAUUUGGUGGAAUAUUAUAUGUUCAGAUCCAUUAUUCUAUUCAACACCCCUCUAAUCUUGAGUAUGUUUAUCAUUUGUGAGUAGUUACUUUUGUUCUUGAGGACGCGGGAGAAAUCAUAUUGCAAGUAAUCAUGUGAACUUGAUAUGUGUUUGAUAUUUUGAUGGUAUGUAUGUUGUCAUUCUCUUAGUGGUGUCAUGUGAACGUCGACUACAUGACACUUCACCAUAUUUGGGCCUAAGGGAAUGCAUUAUGGAGUAGUUAUUAGAUGGUGGGUUGCGAGAGUGACAGAAGCUUAAACCCCAGUUUAUGCGCUAUUCCAUAAGGGACCGAUUGAAUCCAAAAGUUUAAUGCUAUGGUUAGAAUUUAUUCUUAAUACUUUUCUCGUAGUUGCGGAUGCUUGCGAGAGGGUUAAUCAUAAGUAGGAGGUCUGUUCAAGAAAGAACGUCACCUAAGCACCGGUCCACCCACAUAUCAAAUUAUCAAAGUACCGAACAUGAAUUAAGCCAACAUGAUGGAAGUGACUAUGAAAUUCCCGUGUACCCUCAAGAACACUUUUCUUAUCAUAAGAAACCAUUUUGGCCUGUACUUUGCCUCAAAAGGAUUGGGUUACCUUGCUGCAAUUUUGUUACUACUAUUGCUACUUGCUCAUUACAAAUUAUCUUGCUAUCAAACUACUCCGCUACUUACAAUUUUAGCACUUGCAGACAUUACCUUGCUGAAAACCACUUGUCAUUUCCUUCUGCUCCUCGUUGGGUUCGACACUCUUACUUAUCAAAAAGGGCCACAAUUGACCUCAUACACUUGUGGGUCAUCAAUGGUGUGCCGAUCAAUUUAGCCUCGGUAAUCUUCUCGAGAUUCAUGCCUCGGUUAAUUAUUCUUUUACUUAAAACAUUAAUCAGGCAAACACUUUGUUUUCACUCAUAGGCCAACAAAGUUUGUCUUCGUCCGCCCACCAUCCAAUAUUAUUUUAAAUAUUAGGGUGGUAUCAAUGUUGGGCAGUACUACAAAUUCAUGGUGUCUUGUUACCAAAUUGAUGUAUUUUUAAGUACACUGACAUACAUCCUUUUUUUCACUUAAUAGGAGAAAAUCAAAUGGUUAAAUAUGGGUUAUGUCCUCUUACACUGAAACGUGAAUUGUUUUGCACUAUUACAUCUGACAAAGGAAGUCCUGGGUUAAAGGUAGUUCCAUGUCUAUUGGUGACGAUUGCGCUGGAAACCGGAGGUGGCAUCUUGGUCUUCUCCAUGCGAACACCACAUCUCCGACGAUGCAGCCACGGCCCGAGGGCGGCGAGCUGAUCUCCCAAGGCUCCUCGCUGACGCAUGACAAUGCCCACCUCAAUUAUCCGUUAUAGAAUUUAUGCUAUCAGUUGUUUGUAGUUGUGCUCUGAAUAGAUGUCCCCUACUUGUAGUAGAUAAUCAUACUUUGCUAUAAUACAUUGAACAGCUAGUGCUUCUAUGCGGGAACCCCACACAAAUUGUAAACAUGAAUAUGAAAUGGACGUUUACCAACCUGGCACCGCCCCAAUCACCUCUCAGGUCGCGCCAUAGGGUGGCGCCAGUUAAGGCUCGCUUGCCAAGGGCUAGUGGUUAAAGUCUCUUUUAUUGGUGCGGUACUGGUGAGUGCAAUGCGCGGUGCAGUAGCCUUGAGAGGCGUCCAAAGCGGCUUAGGAAGCGGCGCACCUGUGAAGCGACAAUGAACAUGGCUAAUGCCAACACUCAAAGGUGGGCUUCCCCUAAUUCCUUUAUGUAUAUAUGCAAGCUUGUGUGGUGUGCUCUGCUUCCUCCUCCCUAUUUUAAUUAAUGAAUCUAUUACUGAGCAGAGCAUGUGCUUUAGGUUCACACCAUAAAUGAUAUAGUUGAGAGAGUGCUCUUUUUUUGGCGGUUUUUGGUAAUGACUUACUAUUCUUCACAUAUUUGGAAAAGCCUAUGUAUUUACAUUUCUUAUGUCAAAUUGUGUUAUGUAAAUUAAAGGAGAACAAUGUAACUUUGCCUUUAAAUAUGAAAAAUACUUGCAUGCAACUAAAUGCAAUCUAAAAUUCAUAGCUAUAAAAGAAAGGCCUUGAUAUUCAAAUAACUCUCAUUUUAGAUCGUGUAGAGUGCAGGUGCUUACUAUCCUACUUGAAUGAACUAUGGCCAUGAAGGAAAUUUCCUAUUAGGAACACAUGCUAUGUUUGGUUAUGUGUGUCAUCUUAGUGUCAAAAGCAUCUAUGGAAUGCAAUGUGGACUGUUAAAUACUUCUUGAAGAGACAAUACUUGUUAUCUGUAUCCAAGUUUCUAACUGCAUUGGCAGGAGAAAAGUCUGGUUUCCGUUAAUGUAAUCUUCAAUACAUCUUUAUCUACUUUUUGCAACUUCGAACUUCAAAAAGUUAGUAAAAGAAGUAUGACCCAAUACUUAGUGCAGAUAAGAAAGUGAAAGGGAUGCAUCCCACCUGGCACCGCCUCAACUUCCUCUCAGGCGGGUGCGCCCCAACCACUAUAGGGACAAAGGUACUGCCCAAAAAUUGAAGAGAGUGUUAUAUCAUGGACAUUUUACUUGCUUCGUUACUUUGUUUCGUGUAAGAUUAUAUUUUGAUCUAUUAUGUCUAAUUGACCUAAACUUGCAAAGAUCUUGGGAAGAAUAAUUAGUUUCAGUAUAUAGACUAGAUUAUUUGCCAAACACAAUCUAAAAUAUAACCGGAUAUUUCUUUGUUGCAGAUUGUAAGGUUCAAAGAUAAAUAAUCUCAUCAAGUUUUUCUUGAACCGGAGGGUAGAGAUGUCCCUGAGUUAUAUCUACACAUCUCUCACUGCGCCUCGGUUCUGCAUAUGUCAUCGUUUUUCCUUUUUUUCACCAGUUUUCAGUCUGAUACUCCAAUAUCAACUGUUCUUAUCUAUGUUAUUUCUUGUGCAAAAAUGAUAUCUUCUGCAAUAGUUUACUCAAAACUUACAACCUCAUUGAUGGGUUCAUUUUGUUAGCAAAUGUUGUGAAAACAUUGAAAUCUAUGAUGGAUUGGAUGCAAUAGAAUAAGUUUGUUCAUAUUUCUUCAUAACUUUUAAAAUACAGUGUCCAGGUGUAGUUCAGUAAUUUUGACAUGUAUAUUGUUGUAGGUUGAGGCUGUAUGAACGAAGUGAACACAAGGUAAAAGGCAAUGGCAAUUGUCAGUUAGUAUUUAGUGCCAUACUCACAUGAAUAAUUACUUUCAUUUUGUUGAAAUAAGCAUUAUAGGCUGCCAUACUACAUGCAUACAUUUGAUCAUAAGCAUGUUCAUUAGCUAAUAAAGAUAUUUGUAUCUGUUUCAUAUCGGAUAUCAUCCCAUUGAUAUUCUCUAACAGCAACGAUAUACUCCCUCCAUUCCUAAAUAUAAGUCUUUUUAGAGAUUUCAAAUGGACUACAACAUACGGAUGUAUAUAGACAUACUUUAGAGUGUAGAUUCACUCAUUUUGCUCCGUAUGUAGUAUUCGUCAUGCGGCAAUGAGAAGAUCCUCUCGGUGAGCCCUCUCCCUCUUGUUUCACUAUAUGAUUUAGGUUGUGACUAACAAAGACUAUAUUUGGCGAGAUUGUGUUUUGUUCAUAUACAUAUGUUGGGCAACAUACAUUGAGGAGUUCAUUUGCUUCCAUUUCUGUUCGUUAUGGUGGAUUGAUUAGGUUAAUUUAGUUGAUUACCUGGAUAACCAAUAGGUGUUCAAUGGAUUUAAAAUUUUAAUUGUUAAAAAAUGACCGAGAUGAGAUAUAUGUCGACACAAUGCCUGGAUUGGUCCAAUAAAGUGUUCAUUUUCCAUAGCACUUCUUUUUCUUAGUAGUUGUAGAGGAUAUUUGGCAUAGAAGUUGUUCAACUAAAAGAAGUACGGAAAGCUAACAUGUGGUCAUGGUAUCAUGUUUUUUAUCUCUCGAGUUGGUGCCCACUCUGCACUUAUUUAAACGAUCCAUUUAUGUCUUUCUCCCUUGUGUAAACAAGCAUGCGCAUGUGUGCAGAACUAUAGAUGGUCAUAUGAAAAUGCUCUUAUUCCUUGCUAUGCUGUAGUUUUUUGCGACGGAGCAAAAUAGCGAAAGUGGUCUGGUAAAUGCUCUUCUAGCUGCGUUUUUUCUUUUAUUACCUUUCUCCAGUUAAGAUAUCAUCUCAAAGUGUUUACAUUUGGCUGCUAAAAACACAGGUAAUUUGGCCAUAUGAGUUUCUUUCUUUUAGAGACCACACAAUAGAACAACAAUGGGUUCCAGUUUUUUGUUUAUGCAAUUCAUCUUCUUGCAACUUUCUUUCCUUUGUUUAUGCGACCGAUAUCUACAUCUACGCUAACUAAUUGUCAUAUUCAUUUGACGAUAAAGUUAACCCAUCCAUUAUUAUUCCUCUUAUUUUUGGUUGCUUUAUGCUAAGAUCUUGCCCCCGUCUCUAAGCUUGUUGAUUUUGUAGGGUUCUUAUGAAUCAUGUUGGUCGUUUAGCGCGUCUAGGGCAUUGGAGUGGGCCAACUACAUGAUGGGCAAAAUGGAUGCACCCUCCAAGCAACAGUUGAUCGGCUGCGACCAUGAGGUGAGGCUCUUUUUCUUUGGUCGUUCUAUUAAGCACGAGCUAGUGUUAAUAAGAAUGAAAUCUGAUUUAGUGUAACCCGAAAAGAUCUUUAUUUGUGCUUCAUAAAGUCAGAUUAGUUUUGUUAUUUCAGUUCUAUGAUUUGUAGGUCACUAUACUAACGCAUGGUACUAUAAUCAUGUGGUACAAAAAAGUGGUUUGUCUAUACCAAAGAUUAGUGAUUUAUGUCAAAAAUUUCUGUUGGGGUAGAGCAAUUUGCUUUAGGUUGGCCUCCGCUAAUUAAUUCAGACAUAGUAACAUUGAUUUGUUGUUUCUUUUUGGUUCCUCACACAUUUUCAUAAUGUUGAGACAAUCGGAACAUUGCAUAUGAUGGUAAGCAAGUUCUGCAAUACACCUUUAUUCAUGCAAUUACUUUUUGGAGCAUUGUUCCUGCAUCUAAACUCAAAUCAUAUAUGAUGCAAGCAAGCAUAUGGACGAGGAGGCCGAGCCAUCCAUGAACCCCUCGCCUUCUGGGGCAGAGAAGGACAAGAAGGAGCAUUUCACAAUGCGUAGGGCAUCACGAGCAACCUGAGCCAUUAUCAUCUAUAUAAUCCCUUACGUAACCUCCAAGACUGCUGCUUGUGUCACAACAUGUGCCUCUUAAUAUCUAAUGAUCUAUGAAGUCACUGCUUUUCUCUUAGAGAUGAUCCGUUGUCUGAAUGUGUUACAUUUGUACUGCUUUCUCUUAUAGUUCAGGUCAGGAAGUUGCACACACAUAUAUUCUUGUGCUUUCAGUUUGGCUUUAUAACAAUGAAUAGUACAAAUAGAAUAGUUACGGUAUGAUAUAAGUGUGUCAGCUACAUGUGUUGCAUUUUUGUUGGUUUGUUCUACUAUAGAUGCUAGUUUCUUCACAAAAAAUCACAUAAUACACAAAGCACAUUCCUCAGUGCAAAUAGGAGAGUGGAAGGGACGACUCCUACCUGGCACCGUCCUAACUUCCUCUCAGGUGGCGCCACCAGGUGGCACCCCAAUCCCUAGUCUCCAUUAUCCAUCUCAGUUGGCAAAUGCAGUUGAGUGUCACAAUAUUUUAAUUCAAAUCUUGACCUUUAUGACGCAAAUAUUUCGCCGACAUUUCAAACUUAUUGUUUUCAAAUUCACAAAUUCAAAUUAGAACACAACAUAUUAUCCAAAUGAAGCCAAUAUUCCAAAUAAAAUGAUGGAAAGAUCCUACGGAGCCUUCUCGUUGCACCACUCUCCAUCAGCUUCUGUCAUGGCAUCUGCAUUGGGUGCUCUCGUGUACUCCUCUUCAAAGAACUAAUCACACCUCUGUAAAUUUGUUCACACGGAUGAUGACAAGAUAUUCUCCAAUGCGGGCAUAUUCAUCUACAUACCUUUUUUUAGUCUAAUAUUCAUCUGCAUACUUACCCAAAACUCUAUAUGCAUUGCCAUGACACACUUCUGAAUUGCACUUGCGCCAAGCUAUCCAAUUGCAUUCCUCUUCUGAUGAACAGACCAUCAUGCUAUUCAACAACAAUUACCAUGCUUAUAAAAAUCUCCGUCGACAUUAUGAAAUGUCUCCUAAAACGUAUACAUAGCGCAAGUAUCCAAACAUGAUACCAUGCAAACAUGCAUCACGUGAAAUUAAGAUUUAGCGAUAGGCAUAACACACAUGAAUUGUUCACGAGGUCUAGAAGUGCAUGAAUUGUUUAAGUCUACGGAAGCUGGUUGUAGGAGAAGGGUGGGAUGGGAGAGCAGAGGCGGCGAAGAAAGAGGAGACCCGAUACAGAGUGCUCAAUCAAUCGGGGGCAUGGAGUGAACGAUGACAACAAGGACAACAGAGGGCAAGACGACAUGGUGAUGUGAGAGAAAGUAGUGCACUCGAUCGGUCUGAUGGCGUGUAUGUGACUGAUCGGGGAAGGAUGAGGGGAGACGAACCACCAAAUUAGUAGUAAUGUGCAUUACCAAGAUGAAAAGACCAAAUUACCCUUGAGAAUGGACAGCUAGACUUCUCUGGUACUCUCGCAUACCAGGGUACCGUAAAAAGUCUCUUGUCUGAAACUUGAAGGAAUUUCACCCCUACUUUCUAGUCAUUCCAAGUCAAAUACAUAGUUAUCUCACCAUGUGUAUGACCACCAGAACCUUGGUCCAUCUUCAUGUCUCGUGCAUACCACACCCCAUAUCGCUAUUACUACAUCGAGUUUGUGCUACUCCGGUCAAGUCUCCACCGCCGCGAACCCACACGACUUAAUCCCCACUGCAAAGUACCAAUAAUCAUCACCGAUCAAUGAUGGGUUACACGUAUUCCUCAGGUCUACCGACAAGUAUGCACACGAGCGACAACUACGCAAUCACUAGCAUGCUCAUGGACACUGUUUCGGGGUGCGGGAACCGCUACUCGCGAGAGCACCAAGGCAAACAACCAACGCAGCUGCUCAUGAUCCACAUGGGCGACCACGGCGAGGUCCUCAUGGACAAGGUCAUUCAAGCGAUCGAGCUACUCAACGAGCCAGCCCCGGCAGCGACGAACCAAGAAUGUUGUGUGCUCUCGACACAUCUGUCUCUGGCGUGAAGUGUCGUGCACUAUCCGCCUCCGCGCUCUGGUGGGAAACCAAGUCAUGCUCCACCUCUCGACUCUGGCUGCACUCACAGGUUCAUCCCGAUGUCCUUUGCGAAGUGCAUCACUGCCAAUACGAUGCCCCUACCGGCGGUGGGACUAUGGGUGGCCAACGGUGAACACUUGAUCUGUGAAAAGCGUGUUCCACACAUUAAGUGUGGUUGCAGGGAACACAUUCACCGCCAACAUGUGACUACUUGCACUAGGUGCAUAUGAUAGAGUACUGGGUAUGGAUUGGCUGAAGUUGUUCACCCUGAUGAGCGGGCCAUGUUUGAGCAUCAAGGUGGCACUAUCACACAAGGUGUUUGAAACAAUGUCGUGCAGUCCCUGGAGGCAAUUAAACUGGAGCGGUUCAACAAGUGGCAGGCCAGCAAUGAUAUCUAGUAAAUGGCGUUGGUCGACAGGCAACAACACCAAGGAGACAAGAACGACAAGUUGCCUACAAGCAUUCAAGUGGUGCUCAAUGACUACGACAUUUUGGAGAGCCCAAGGAGCUCCCUCCACAUCGACAGUACGACCACGCAAUCACGUUGGUCAGUUGUGCGCAACCAGCAAACCCAAAACCUCACGGCCACUCGCCCCUGCAAAAGGACGAGAUCAAGCGGCAAGUCUGAGACAUGCUGCAGUCUAUGGUGAUCUCACAUAACAUGAGCCCAUUUGCUGCCCCAGUCCUCUUGGUCAAGAAAAAGGACGGAUCUUGGCGAUUCUGCAUCGACUACUAUCGUCUCAAUGACAUCACCGUGAACAACCGAUUUCCACUGUUGAUCGUCGAUGAGCUACCCGUUGCUACUUACUUCUCCAAGCUGAACUUGCGAGAGAGCUACCAUUAGAUCCGCAUGCGGGAGAGCGACAAGGAGCAGACUGCGUUUAAAACUCACCACGACCACUUUCAUUUCCGUAUCAUGCCUUUUGGUCCAACGAAUAUGCCAGCCAUGAUUACAAUGCCUGAUGAACCAUAUCUUCACCAAGUAUGUGCGCAUAUUCAUGAUUAUUUUUCUGGAUGACAUCUUGGUGUAUAGCACCAUGUUGCAGAAACAUGAGGAGCGUCUACUAGCGGUGUUCGAUCAACUCCGUCAAAACCAUCUCUACGCCAAAAUGUCCAAGUGUUUGUUCGCCAAGGACAAGAUCAGCUACCUAGGGCACGUCACCUCAUGCGAUGGCGUCACCAUGGACACAGAGAAGACAUGUGCUAUGUUCAACUGACCAAUGCCAUCCACGUCAACAAAGCUGUGUAGAUUUCUCGGCCUCGGUGGCUACUACCGGAAGUUUGUGGCGCGCUGUUAGAUAAUAACAAGAAAUAAACGAGACACAAGAGACACAUAUUUUUACGUGGAAACCCUUGCGGGAGAAAAACACGGACGCAUGAAGGCGCAAUCACUAUGAGGAGGAGUAUUACAAGCACGAGACGACAUAUCGUCUUAGGUGCGACUACAUGGGGGAUAUAUGAGGGGCAACACAUAAGAGUCCUUGUAGGACAAGUAAACGAGUUGUACUCGUUCGUGUCGGUACCAACCAAGGGCCCACGUCAUAUGUACUACGUCUAGUCCAAUACGGUAGAAUUUGGAUCACAAUUUAACAAUCUCCACCUUGAGUCAAAUUCCCUCCAAUAGCCGAAGAAAGUGAAUAACUCCAUCCAAAUCAGCAUAAACACCUUGUGCGUCAAAGUCCAUAGGACUAAAGAACUACCAACUAAGCCUGAGCAAAUCUCAAACUUAUUGGUCGGAACUGGCUUUGUCAUCAUAUCAGCAGGAUUAUCAUGAGUACUUAUCUUGCAUACCUUCAAAUCACCUUCAGCAACAACAUCUCGAAUAUAGUGAUAUCUGACAUCAAUGUGCUUUGUUCUCUCAUGAUACAUUGGAUUCUUUGAAGAUAUAUAGCACUUUGACAGUCACUAAAUACGGUAGGGCAAGAUGAAUCUCCACAAAGCUCAGUGUAUAAACCUCUCAACCAGAUAGCUUCUUUGCAAGCCUCAGAAAUAGCCAUAUACUCGGCAUCAAUAGUGGAACAUGCCACAAUAGAGUGCAAAGUUGCUCUCCAACUCACAGCACAACCACCAAUGGUGAAAACAUAACCUGUGAGUGAUCUUCUCUUAUCCAAAUCACCAGAAAAAUUAGAAUCAACAAAACCAACAAGUUCAUCUCUAAUUUUCCCAAACUGUAAAUAAGCAUUAGAAGUACCUCACAGGUAUCUGAAAAUCCACUAAACUGCUUUCCAAUGCUCUUUUCCAGGAUUAGCCAUAUAUCUACUGACAACGCUCAAUGCAUAAGAUAAAUCCGGACGAGAACAAACCAUGGCAUACAUAAGUGAACCAACUGCACUUGAAUAGGGAACUCUAGACAUGUACUCAAUAUCGGAAUCUGACUUAGGACAUAAAGCUGAUGACAAUUUGAAGUGUGCAGCUAAUGGAGUACUUACUGGCUUGGCAUUAUGCAUAUUAAAAUGACGAAGAACUUUAUCAAUAUAUCCCUUCUGACUUAGAUAUACCUUUUCAGACAGUCUAUCUCUGGAUAUUUCCAUGCCAAGAAUUUUCUUUGCUACACCCAAAUCCUUCAUCUCAAAUUCAUUACUCAAUUGCUUCUUUAAUUCAUUAAUCUCUGACAUACUCUUUGCAGCAAUAAGCAUAUCAUCAACAUAAAGGAGCAAAUAAAUAGUUGAACCAUUGACGAUUCACAAAUAAACACAACUAUCAUAGUUAGACCUUUUGAAACCUUGAGAGAGCAUAAAGGUGUCAAAUCUCUUGUACCACUGUCUCGGAGAUUGCUUCAAUCCAUAAAGAGAUUUCUUUAACUUAUAGACAAGCUUUUCUUUUCCAGGAAUAACAAAACCUUCAGGUUGUUCCAUAUAAAUAUCCUCUCCUAAUUCUCCAUGUAAAAAUGCAGUUUUAACAUCCAAGUUCAAGCUCAAAAUCAUGCAUGGCAACAAUACUGAGUAAAGUGCGAAUAGAGUUAUGCUUCACAACAGGAGAAAAGACUUUGUUAUAGUCAAUACCUGGAAUAUGGCUAUAACCUUUAGCAACUAACCUUGAUUUAUAUCUUGUCUCAUCAUUAGGAGAAACACCUUCUUUCCUCUUGAAAACCCACUUGCAAUGAAUAGGUUUCUUCUCUCUAGGCAAUUUUAAUAAAUCCCAAGUGCCAUUCUUUUCAAGUGAUUCCAUCUCAUCAUGCAUAGCGGUCAUCCACUUAUUACUAUCAUCAAAAAUAAUAGCCUCGGAAUAUGAAGAAGGCUCAGCAUUACCUUCAAUUUCUUCUGCAACAGAUAAAGCAAAAGAAACAAUAUUGCACUCUUCUAUUAACCUGUCAGGUUUAUUAAUACCCCACCUAACUCUGUCACGUGCAAGAUUCCAACUGGGUGAAACAAUAGGCUGAUUUCGAGUGGGAGUGACAUGUUCAUCAUCAACGACGGGUUCAUCAUGUGCAUCAAUAAUUUCAUUACCAAAUGUAUCACCUGUUUCAAUAACAUGCUCCACCUGAACAGUAGGCUGCUGAAUAGUAGGUUGUUGUUCACUCUCAACAGGAACAUUAGUAGAUGGAACAUCAUGUAACAUAGCAGAUUCAUUAAAGAUAACAUUUCUGCUAAUAACCACCUUCUGGGUUUCAGGAUUCCACAAUUUAAAACCUUUAACACCAGAUUUAUAACCAAGAAAGAUGCACUUAACAGUCCUAGGCUCCAACUUUUCAUUAUCAGCAUGAGCAUAAGCAGUGCAACCAAAAACUCUCUACUGUGAAUAAUCAGCAGGUGAACCAGACCAUACCUCAAUUGGAGUUUUCUUAUUAAGAGCAAUAGAUGGUGAACGGUUAAUGAGAUAACAAGCAAUGGAAGUGGCCUCAGCACAAAAAUGCCUAUGCAAACCUGCAUUGGACAACAUGCAAUGGGCUCUGGAAAUAAUGGUCCUGUUCAUACGCUCAGCAACUCCGUUUUGUUGAGGAGUAUAAGGAACGGUGUAAUGUCUGACAAUGCCUUCAGACUUGCAAUAAUUCUUAAAUUUCUUAGAACAGAAUUCCAUACCAUUAUCAGUGCGAAGUAUCUUUACCUUCUUUUCAGUUUGUCUUUCAAUCAUAAUCUUCCACCCCUUAAAUGAUGAGAAUGCUUCAUAUUUAUGCUUCAAGAAAUAAGGCCAAACUUUUCUUGAAUAAUCAUCAAUAAUAGUCAGCAUGUAACUUGCACAACCUAAUGACUUCUUGCAAGAUGGUCCCCAUAAAUCAGAAUGGACAUAAUCAAGAAUACCUUCAGUUGUAUGAGUCGAAGUGUUGAACUUCACCCUCUUGUGCUUGCCAAAGAUACAAUGCUCACAAAAUUUCAAUUUACCAGGUUCAUAUCCAACAAGAAGACAUCUCUUAUUUAACUCUGUCAAACCAAGUUCACUCAUAUGUCCAACGCAUAUGCCAAAGGUUAGCAGCAUCACAAUCAGAAUUCUUUGAAACAACUGGAGUAGCAUUACCUGAAACGGUUGAACCUCGAAGGUAAUAAAGACCAUUGGUCGAACUUAAAUCACCUUUCAUCACAAUAAGGGAACCUUUGGUGACUUCCAAAACACUAUCUCCACCAGAAUACUUGUACCCCUUUGCAUCAAGGGCACUAACAGAGAUAAGAUUUCUCUUCAUCUUCGGCAUAUACCGAACAUCUGUCAAAGUUCUGAUUGUGCCAUCGAACACCUUGAUUCGAACGGAACCUAUGCCUUCAAUCUUGCAUGGUGAAUUAUCAAAACCCAAAACGGAACUAGCAGAGGUAGUAGAAUCAAAAGUAGUAAAACAAUCUCUAUGGGACACAUAUGAAAAGUGCAUGGAGUGUCAAGUACCCACUCAUCAUUGGUCUCAACACAUCCAGCAAUAACAACAAGAGCAUCAUCAGAACUAUCAUCACGAGCAACAUUAGCAGAAUUAUCACCUUGUUUGUUACCUUUCCUCUUUUCUUUAUUUUGCAACUUGAAACACUCUGAGAUGUCAUGCCCGUCUCUCUUGCAAUAUCUACAAUACUUCUUGUCUCUGGAUUGCGACCGGCCCCUGUAGACGUUCUUACUUUUGCCUCUAUUUCCAUUAUGUGAGUUCUUCUCCUUUAUCCUUUCAUGAACAGAUAAUCCCUCGGCUUGGGAUGAACUUGAACCAUCAUGAGGCAUCAUUAAUUUAAUCUUCUCCUUAGAGUUCAAAGCUUCAUAAACUUCAUUAAGUGUGAGAGUAUCACGACUGUAUAAUAUGGUGUCUCUAAAAUUGGUAUAAGAACUUGGCAGUGGACAAAGUAACAUUAAAGCAGUAUCUUCCUCUUCAUAUUUAACCUCCAUUGCAGCUAGAUCAGAUAUGAUCUCUUUAAAUUCUGAAAUAUGAUUCAAAACAUUACCUCCCUCGGGUAACCUGUGCAGGAAUAAUUUUUGCUUCAGAUGCAUCUUGCUGGUGAGAUAUUUAGUCAUGCAAAUCCCUUCCAAUUUUAACCACAGAGUGGCGAUAGUUUUCUCGCUCAAAACUUCCUGCAAAAUAUUAUUAUGCAAAUGGAGUUGAAUUUGUGACAAAGCCUUACAAUCAAUUUUUUUCUCCUCAUCAGUCCAGUCCUGAAUUCUAUUCUUCGCAAAACUAUCCAGUGCUUCAUCAUAGUCGGACUGUGCCAACAACGCCCGCAUCUUGACUUGCCAUAGGGUAAACCUUGUGUCUGGUCCAGCGGCAGAAGAUCGUAUUUCAUGGAUGCUAUGAGUCGAUAAAACUGUGUACACAAAGUAAUACAAGCCGAUAGAAAAUUCUUGACAGAAUUAAUUUGCGGAGUAACGAAGUUGAAAAUGUAGCACCUGGUAGAUGUUCGGGUGGAUGUAGCAAUUGAUCAAAAAAUAUCUGAGCUAGUAAACAACUAGCAACCUUCACGUAGCAGUACUAGUUUAAGUACUUGCUUACUCUGGUCUUCACGUGUAGCACGGCAACUCGGUGGAUGAGGUGAUGCCUCGGAACUUGAGUCUUGCACGUGCAGCAAGGCGGCAACUCGACGAAUCAGACAACGACUGCAGCCUUGGUGAUUUCGAAAGUAGCAGCGGGUAAUUGAUUAGCGGCUGGACAGAUCGCUCCUCACGGAGCACCUCGGUUGCGCGCGGCUAUAAAGAACCAGCGGAACUCCAAACUGUUGUCGGUCUCGGCAAAUCGAUCUGGCUUCGGAUCGCCAGGUCGCGUCGGCGGCGCAGAACGCCAACCUAAUUUUUCUCGUCUCAACGAACUCGUAUGUGUAACUUGGCUCUGAUACCACUUGUUAGAUAAUAACGAGAAAUAAACGAGACACAAGAGACGCGGAUUUUUACGUAGAAACCCUUGCGGGAGAAAACCACGGACGCACGAAGGUGCAAUCAAUAUGAGGAGGAUAUUAUAAGCACGAGACGACAGACCGUAUUAGGAUGCGACUACAUGGGGUAUAUAUGAGGGGCAACACAUAAAAGUCCUUGUAGGACAAGUAAACGAGUUGUACUCGUUCCCGUCGGUACCAACGCAAAGGCCCACACCGUAUGUACUAUGUCUAGUCCAAUAGGCAGAAUUUGGAUCACAAUUUUAACACGCGCUACGGCUUCAUCGCCAUGCCACUGGAAAAUCUCUUGACGAAGAAAGGAUUCGAGAGGACUGCGCAAGCUCAGACGGCCUUCGAUCUUCUCAAGAGCGCCAUGGCAAGUGCUUCGGUGCUCACCCUACCGGAUUUCUCGAGCCCUUUCACUUCUACUCCCUCCAUUCCUAAAUAUAAGUCUUUUUAGAUAUUUUAAUAUGGACUAUAUACGGAGCAAAAUGAAUGAAUCUACUCUUUAAACUAUGUCUAUAUACAUAUGUAAGUAGUUCAUAUUGGAAUCUCUCAGUGGCGGAGCUCUCAGUCAAGGUUCGUAUUAAGCUUUCGCACCCGUUGAUUGUGGAUUCUCCUCUGUUGUGCCGUGGAGUUUGAUACGCACGCCGGUGCGGUGCGUUAGGUUGCUUGUAGAGUCUUGGUAUUGUGAUCCUUCGACGUACCCCUCAUCUAUUUGGUCCUGUUAGUCUGCUAGCUAGAUCAUGCCUUUUGUUGGGCAUCCCUGUUCUUCUCUUCUUGUAACAUUUGUUCUUGUAUGGUUUUCAGUCCGGUUUUCCUUAUUAACACGGUAAAUUUGUUAAGGUUUUCGAUCUGAUAUUCCUUAUAAACUAGAUCACUCGUCUGGCAUUAUGGCCAGUUUGAGUAAUAUAUUUAGGUGGAGGGACUCCUCCGGUGAUUCUAAAAAAAACAUAUUGAAAUAAAGACUUAUAUUUAGGAACGGAGGGAGUAGUUCAUACCAUGAGGCUGGCCUGGUCAGCCAUCUUCAAAUCAGUCGGACAGAAAAAACUGCUGCCAAUUCAUCUUUUGAGAUAUAAUAAAAAGUUGAAUCCAUUACAAACUUGGGUCAUGCCUCUUGUCCAAUUGGUACCACAACACACACCAAACCCAACAAGCGUACAUGCCAACUGAAUUAAUGUCCAAUCUGAAGAGCCUGAAUGCGUGAACACGACGUAUGAAACUACUAUGAAUCAAGUUCUAAAAUAUUAUCCUUUUUAAAGUUUGGCAAUGCAUGAGCAUGAAUCGAUCAGUCAAUCAACCUUGGAUGAUUCUUGGUCGUUGUUUUCAUCCAUGGACGCGGACCGCCACCGCCGGCUCAGCAUCCUGGGAAGCCGGAUCACCGAGUUCACCCGAGCCACCCCUUCCAGCGCCCUCCACACAGCCGUCCCCUCCUCCGCCUCACCGCCGCCCAGAGCCUUGCGGAAACUCCCGGUGAACGAUAACACAGGUGCGUGAGGCGGCUUGGUCGUGCUGUCUUCCUCAGAUGAAAUGGCUGCUGGCUUCAGGAAGAGGCAGACAGCCGCGCAGUCAUCGACCAUCGACGUCGGGAACUUGCGCCGCCACGCGCGAACCGCCCGGUCCACGAGCUGCUUUGCCGCCUUUGAGCGGUCGGAGGCCGACGAGACGAUCUUGACCACCUCCUUGUUGGAUAGCACGUCCCAUAUCUGCAACACUGUGUGGUUAGAUAAGAAGAUACAGAGACGAGUCUACUUCAGUUAACAGUUGCUUGAUGUCAGCCUGAUCAUAAAGGAUUUGAUUUAUGUUAUCUUAAUUUAAGUUGCAAUAGUGUCAGGAACUGUUCUUAACUAAAGGAAGUUGGAGCAUGAUUGGAAUGUAAUGGACAUGAAACUAGAGGAAAUCCACUCUUGUUACCCCAUCAGUGGCAAGCACCAAGAAGUCAUCCUUUUCUGACAGCUUCCUGUAGUACACUUCGGGUGUGCAGAUGAGACCAUGGUUCUUGAGGCAGAAGUCUCCGAAAGCCCUUGCCAUGGCGAGGCCCGGCGCGUCCUGGUCCGGCAACCACAGCCUAGGCACGUCGGGCUCAUCGUCCAUGGCGAAGAUUCUCCCCUUGCAACUCAGGAUCCUCUCAGCCUCACCUACGACAAGUCCAGAAGAUACAUUGCAAGUUGCAGUUAACAAGUGUACGUACCACCUACAGGCAAGUAUGACAUGAGAAAUUCAGAGGCUGACCAGGAAGAUCUGGCUUUAAGUCGGUGGUGAUUUGCACCGAAACCGGGCGGCCCUUGCUGUCCCGCGCGCAGAGAACAGCGCGCGAAUCGCCUAAAUUUGCAACGAUCAAGUGAUCACCCUGUAUGCAAAAAAUAGCAACAAUUGAAACUUUCAAAUAUACUUCUAAAUUUCAAGUGAACAUUUCGGUGCUUUGGCCGAAAUGCAAACUGGAACCACUGAAAUUCGGUAAUUUCGGUAGGUGCUGAAAUAUUUCUGAAACUGAAAUUUAAAACCAUCUAGUAUCUAUUACCUGCCUAACGACGGUGACAGCAGUGGUGCCACUGCAAAGGCAGUCGAUCCCGGAAUGCUGCCUCAGCUCCUCGUCGACGUCCUCGAACGCCUUCACGAUCAAGCUCUUCCACGAGGACAGCAGCUGGUGCUCUUCGCUGGUGUCGCUGGACGAGGUGCAAUCCGACUUGUCGAACGAAUCCAUGUCCGCGUUGCUGUUGCUGGAGAGGGCGUCGUCUUCAGCUCUCGGUGCCAGAGAGGCGGACAGCUUCUUGGGAAGGGAGUCUCGGACAUGCCGUGCGACGUCCCGGCCGAGGGGCCCGUGCCCGUCGAAGACUCCGCAGAAGAUCUGGCCCUUGUGCCCGGCGAAGUCCUGAUCAUCUUGACACAUCAAGAUUAUCUUAUGUCUCAAGUAAAUUUUGCACAUAAUCUAGCAGCUAGGCCAUACUGAUACUAUCUGCCACGGAUUUCAGUUUCUAAUGCUGCAUUCAUGCUGAUAUUAGUACACUGGUGAGCAAUAAAUAUGUCAUGAGACUAAGUAGAGUACGUACUACAUAGGAGAUCAGGGCAAUGGUGAGCAAUCAAGAUGGUGAGGUACAUGUGUGGUGAUUACAGUAUCUCAGGUGUAUUGCAGGUUCCAAAGUUUUUCAGUUUGAGCAAAGCUAGUAGCAGAGAUGGACCUAGUACUACUGCAAAAAGCUGCCGAUUCAACUUGCAGCGAAGAAAAGAACAUAUCUCCCAUGGCUACAAGGAAGGGGAGGGAAGGAAAGGAAAGCUUGACCUUACCUGGCAGGCGGCCAUGGCGUCCUGGUUGACGCCUUUCCACCCUUGCUUGGUGUGCAUGGACACCCCGGCGGCGCCGGCGAGCUGCUCCUGCAAGAAGUCGUCGUGCUUCCAGGGGAACCACCCCUCCGUCUCCUCGAGCUCCCUCCCCCCUCCUUCCCUGCUGCAGCAGAUCCCCAUUGCCGCAGCCAAAUCUCGGCAGCUACCUAGAACCUAGCUAGCUCGCUCCUGCAGCUGCAAGCAGAGGUGCACGGAACGGGAUGGGCAUCUCGGAGUUUAAUGCGCGCGGGCGGGCGUGUGUGCGCGUGAGCGAGCGAGCGAGAGAGUGGGGUGAAUGGAUGUUUAUCUUGCCAUUUAUAGCGUUGGGGCGCCAUUAAUGGCGAGAGGACAUGGGCGCCCCGUCCUGGAGGUAGAUGGGGACGGACGCCGCUAAUGGUGGUGACGCGGCCGCAUUCAAUGCUCCUCAGCAACUCUUGUUGCCUGUAGCUGUGGGCGCCAACGUGAGAUGCCUGCCUCCUGCGCCCGUCGUCGUCUUCAAUGCGCAUCUCACUGGCUCUGGCUCUGGCUGGGCGUCAGAGGAGGCUCACCUGUCUCUCCAUGAAAAUCCUUGCGAGUUUGCAGUGCCAUAACGCGCUUGGUACCGCUCGCCGCUCGCCUAACGUCCAUGAAUUCUGAGCUCUAGCCAGUGUUGCAGUUUGCAGGUAGCAGCGGUCGCUGCCAAAGUGCCUUGUUUGGGCUAGGCCUGAUGAUAAUUCUUGGCCCGGACAAGUCUGAUCUGAAAAUGUCAAAGCCUGGCCAGGCCCGGCCCAACCCAACAUAUGUGAAAAAUGUCUUUUCCUUCUUAAUUUAAUGACACGCUAGGCGUCAUCCGGCAUGGAUCAAUUGGCGAUUAAGUAUGGCCAGUAGGAGCCAAACGACUAUAGUGGCGAAAAUAUAAACCGCCUCUACAGCCAUUCGAUAAGGCAGUGUGUGACCCUCUGAUCGUCUUCCGUUCUCUUGUAGCUUGCACAAUCAACACCACUUGUCGAAUUCAAAAAAAAAAAAAAACACCACUUGUCAUCCUGUCCCGUCACAGCGUUGAUCGUACUUGCACAAGCACAGCCCAUGCUAGCAGGCAACCGCCACCACCGUCGCAGCGUCGACCAUCGCUUUGCACCUUGUAGCCUGCUCGUAGCAUCCGUCGUUGCCGACAUUGCAGUGUCGCCUGAAGUUCUGAUGGUCCCUUGCGUCACCACCGACAUUCCCCUCAAAGCUUCAAUGAUUCCCGUCGCCGGAGGCUCAUGGGCCGUCCAAUUGGCAACACAUCAGAUGGACCGCAUGUUGCUUCGCUUCUCCCAGCAUCACACAAAUGCAGCAUCUCGCCAGCCCACAGCUCGUGGACUAUCAUCACCGGCGGUAUCGCUGGUCGCUGGCACUGCUUCACAACAUCACCAGCAGCAUCGCCAGCCGCGUUGCAGCAUGACUGCAUCCUUCGCAACAACAGGUGGUGAUGCUCACCUAUAACCCCUCACCCGCACGCAGCAUGCUCCUCUCCCUGCACGGCCGCCCUCGGAAGCAUCAUCGAACAUGUCAUAGCAUAUCAGCGACCUUGCAACAAUAGGGUUUGGUGCUCAUGCGAAAGACACUCUUUCUCACUGUCUCCACCCCAAUUGUCGUCUCCCUCACUGUUCCGGCAUGUUCCGCCGUCCACCACCGCGAUGGAUCCAUCAUUGGAUGACCUAACGGAGAUGAUCAUUAUCCCGCCAAAGUCGGAGGACCGGGUGGCGGUGGACGCCCGUAAGGCUGCGUUCUCGGAAUGCAUCAAGGAGGAUGAAUUGUUGUGUGAGGCAUAGUAUCCAUGUUUGGUUUCACAAGAGAAAGCACUACGAUCCCUACCAUAAGGAAGUGGUCCAUCAACGCAAUGGAAGUCGCUCACCAAUCGAUGGUACACCAUUCAAGAGCGAGUCAAAAAGUUUUGCGGCCUCUACAAUCAAGUGAAAAUCCGGUGGCCAAGUGGCACACAAUCCAACAGCUCGUAAGUUUUGUGACUUGUUCAACUUGUUGACCCUCCAUUGUCUUCAUUAGCUAGCCCAUACGUGCGUGCAGGCUAUACCCAAAGAUGGAGAAGAAGCACUUCAUCUAUAUGCAUUGUUGGUUGCACUUAAGUAGGCAAAACAAGUGGCUCACCGCUGUUGCCAAUUCCGUCUUAGAGAAAGACGUCGCAUUCGAGAGUCCUAGAUUGGGCAAAUUAGAGUAGACCGUGAAGACGAACCUAUGGAUUUACUUCUUCAAUCCUCUCAUUCUUAUUGACAGUGUGAAGCACCUCAGCGAGGACUCUGGAAGGCGUACCCAAGUUGGGACUUGAAGAUGACAUUGGCAUGGGACAUGAUGUAUCAUGCCUAGGAUUCGAUUUCUAAUACCGCCAUGCUCAAUGAAGAUGAGGGUAGUGAUCCAACCAUGCCAACACAAGAUGGGCUUGCUCCGGCCAAGAAGGUGAUUAGGAACCGGGAGAGGAAGUGGGAGGAGGUGAAGUAGAAGCGAGAAGGGUGAUACGUCUCCAACGUAUCUAUAAUUUUUUAUUGUUCCACGCUAUUAUAUUACCCGUUUUGAAUGUUUAUGGGCUUUACUUUACACUUUUAUAUCAUUUUUGGGACUAACCUACUAACCGGAGGCCCAACCCGAAUUGUUGUUUUUUUGCCUAUUUCAGUGUUUCGAAGAAAAGGAAUAUCAAACGGAGUCCAAACGGAAUGAAACCUUCGGGAGUGAUCUUUUUGGAACAAACUCAAUCCAGGAGACUUGAAGUGGACGUCAAGAAGCGGCCGAGGCGGCCACGAGGGUGCCUGGCGCACCCUAGGGGGUGGGCACGCCCCCCACCCUCGUGGGCCCCUCAUGGAUCCCCUGAUCGACUUCUUUCGCCUAUAUAUACUUGCAUACCCUGAAAACACCGAGGAGCACCACGAAAACCUAUUUCCACCACCGCAACCUUCUGUAUCCAUGAGAUCCCAUCUUGGAGCCUUUUCCGGCGCUCCGCCGGAGGGGGAAUCGAUCAUGGAGGGCUUCUACAUCAUCGCCAAGGCCUCUCCAAUGAGUUGUGAGUAGUUUACCAUAGACAUUCGGGUCCAUAGUUAUUAGCUAGAUGGCUUCUUCUCUCUCUUUGAAUCUCAAUACAAUGUUCUCCUCGAUCUUCUUGGAGAUCUAUUCGAUGUAACUCUUUUUGCGGUGUGUUUGUCAAGAUCUGAUGAAUUGUGGUUUAUGAUCAAGUUUAUCUAUGAGAAAUAUUUGAAUCUCCUCUGAAUUCUUUUAUGUAUGAUUGGUUAUCUUUGCAAGUCUCUUUGAAUUAUCAGUUUGGUUUGGCCUACUAGAUUGAUCUUUCUUGCAAUGGGAGAAGUGCUUAGUUUUGGGUUCAAUCUUGCGGUGUCCUUUCCCAGUGACAGCAGGGGCAGCAAGGCACGUAUUGUAUUGUUGCCAUCGAGGAUAAAAAGAUGGGGGUUAUAUCAUAUUGUUUGAGUUUAUCCCUCUACAUCAUGUCAUCUUGCCUAAUGAGUUACUCUGUUCUUAUGAAAUUAAUACUCUAGAUGCAUGCUGGAUAGCGAUCGAUCUGUGGAGUAAUAGUAGUAGAUGCAGAAUCGUUUUGGUCUACUUGUCACGGACGUGAUGCCUAUAUACAUGAUCAUGCCUAGAUAUUCUCAUAACUAUGCACUUUUCUAUCAAUUGCUCGACAGUAAUUUGUUUACCCACCGUUGAAAGAACAUGCGGUGCCCCCAUGUUUGGUUUUGGUAAUUGAUGACAAUCUCUAUGGACUAAUGGUUGCCUUGAGUUAUAUUUGAAGGAUUUUUCCAUAGGCUUUUCUUGGAGUCCAUUUGUUGGUUUCAAGGAGAGUUUGUGAUGACCAAGGUGCCACUCAAGGAAUUACCUAAAGAUUGGUCAUGUGAGAGGUUGAUCAAGACUAAGUCGAAGAGUGAAUCAAGUUGAUCAACACACAAAGCGUAGAAGAUGUACCGAGAGGGAUCAAGCGAUCCCAUGGUAUGGUAAGCAUUGUCAAUUACGCUUUGUGUACUAACCCAUGAUCUUCGUGAGAGUUCUUUGUGGGGUUAGGUUGUGGUGUGCAAGUUCAAGUGAAGCAUCACGAAGAGAUCAAAUGCUUGAAGCUUGCAGUCCAUUGUGGUGACAAUGGACUUGUGAAGAUGUGCGGAAGAGUGGCUCACCCAUAGUGGAGUAUGGGGGAGCAAUCAACUAGUCUUCAUCGAGCCAACGCAAUCAAGAAAGGUGGUCCAACUUGAGGGAGUCAAGAUCGUCAUCAUCUAGCUCAAGUGGACCAUGUGCAAGGCAAAGGUUUGCCCUUGAUAGGUUUUCCUUUUUACCGGUCUCAUGAUGGUAGUUGGGAGACCGGGUUUUAGGUUCGAUUGUCGUACUAUCAAGGGGGGCUCUCGAUGAGUAACUUGAUCGUAUCAUUCGUAGAGAGAUCAAACCAUUGCAUCCAUACAUCAUCUUUCUUGGUUCUUGUUUGGUUCUCUUUGUGAGUUUUGGAGCUUUUGGUCAUCUUGAUGACAAGCUCGAGUUCAUCGAAAACGGAGUUCACAUGCAUCUUCUAUGAUGUUUCCGAUGUUGGAGGUUCUGUCGGUUCUUCUCUGUUGGAGGUUUCUCUCCUCUUUUUGUUAGGCAUACUUCCCCUAUUGUUGUUUUGAUGCUACUCGUUGUCUUGUAUCCAACAAGCUUGAGUUUGCUCAAUUCGGUGUCAUUUGCAGAAGUUAUGGCAGUUCUGGUUUUCCUUGGAGCGUACUUGUUUUCGUGGAAGUGGCAUAAGGUUGGUGUUGUUCGGAGCUCAAUCAUUGUAGUGUAAAGCUCCGGGAAAGCGUCGGGGUCUCCAAUUAGGUUGUGGAGACCACCCCGAGCAAUUUGACGGGUACUGGUGACCGCCCCCAAGGGUUGCCAAAGUGUACGGGUUCGGUGACCGCCCCCAAGGGUUGCCAUUUGUACGGGUUCGAUGACCGCCCUCAAGGGUCCCUUAGUGGAAUCACGGCAUCUUGCAUUGUGUGAGGGCGUGAGGAGAUUACGGUGGCCCUAGUGGCUUCUUGGGGAGCAUUGUGCCUCCACACCGCUCCAAACGGAGAUUAGCAUCCGCAAGGGUGUGAACUUCGGGAUACAUCAUCGUCUCUGUGUGCCUCGAUUAUCUCUUACCCGAGCCCUUUACUUAUGCACUUUACUUUGUGAUAGCCAUAUUGUUCUUUGUCAUAUAUCUUGCUAUCACAUAGUUGCUUAUCUUGCUUAGCAUAAGUUGUUGGUGCACAUAGGUGAGCCUAGUUGUUCUAGGUUUUAUGCUUGAUAAAUUAACCGCUAGGUUUAUUCCGCAUUUGUUCAAGCCUAAAUCGUAAUUAUUUUAAAGCGCCUAUUCACCCCCCCUCUAGGCGACAUCCUCGAUCUUUCAAUCGUAAUACUUAUGCUAUCUUGAGAGAAGCCACUGGUGAAACCUAUGGCCCCCGGGUCUAUUUUCCAUCAUAUAAGUUUCCCAUCUAUCUUAUUUUGCAAUCUUUACUUUCCAAUCUAUAUCAUAAAAAUACCAAAAAUAUUUGUCUUAUCUUAUUAUCUCUAUCAGAUUUCACUUUCGCAUGUGGCCGUGAAGGGAUUGACAACCCCUUUAUCGCGUUAGUUGCGAGGUUCUUGUUUGUUUGUGUAGGUACGAGGGAUGUGUGUGGAGCCUCCUACUAGAUUGAUACCUUGGUUCUCAAAAACUGAGGGGAGUACUUAUGCUACUCACCCUUUCCUCUUCAAGGGAAAACUAACGCAGUGCUCAAGAGGUAGCAAGAAGGAUUUCUGGCGCCGUUGUCGAGGAGGUCUUCGCUCAAGUCAAGACAUACCAAGUACGCAUCACAAACUCAUCUCCCUCGCACUACAUUAUUUGCCAUUUGCCUCUUGUUUUCCUCUCCCAUACUUCACCCUUGUCAUUUUAUUCGCCCUCUUUUUUCCGUUCGCUUCUUUUCUUUUGCUUGCCUCUUGUGUGUCUGUUUGCCCUUAUGGCUUUUCCUAAGAAUGCUGAUCUUCACCUUAGAAGGUUGGAAGAGAUCGAAAGCAAUGUUAGAAUCUUUAUGACUUUACAAUUUGAGCAUAAUAACUUCUUUAGGAAUGAGCUUAAAGAACAAAAAAGCUUUAUGGAGUUCAUGAAUAAAGAGCUUGAUGAUAUGUCUAAGGAAUUUUAUGGUUUGAAUUCUCAAAUUGCUCGUCUUGAAAAAUCAAUAGCCCAAAUUUCUGAUAAGCAAGCCACCUUAGUUAAUAAGAUGGUCGCCAAACCAGAAGGGUUAGAGGGAAAUAAUAAUGAUGAAGAUCUAAAAGUUAUUCAUGUGUCCCCUAUGAAAUCUUUGUUUUGCAAUAUGGAUCUUGGUAAUGAUGGGACUCGAGAUGAGUCAACUUUAGUUAAAAGGCGUCCCAAUGAUUCGGAGUUUCUAGAUCUUGAUGCUAAAUUUGGUAAAAGUGGGAUUGGAGAGGUCAAAACUUUACAUAGCAAUGAACCCACUAUUUCGGAUUUCAAGGAAUUUAAUUAUGAUAAUUGUUCUUUAAUAGAUUGUAUUUCCUUGUUGCAAUCCAUGUUGAAUUCUCCUCAUGCUUAUAGUCAAAAUAAAGCUUUUACCAAACAUAUUGUUGAUGCUUUGAUGCAAUCUUAUGAAGAAAAACUUGAAUUGGAAGUUUCUAUCCCUAGAAAACUUUAUGAUGAGUGGGAACCUAAUAUAAAAAUUAAAAUUAAAGAUCAUGAAUGCUAUGCUUUGUGUGAUUUGGGUGCUAGUGUUUCCAUGAUUCCAAAAACUUUAUGUGAUGUGCUAGGUUUCCGUGAAUUUGAUGAUUGCUCUUUAAACUUGCACCUUGCAGAUUCCACUAUUAAGAAACCUAUGGGAAUGAUUAAUGUUGUUCUUAUUGUUGCAAAUAGGAAUUAUGUGCCCGUAGAUUUUAUCGUUCUUGAUAUAGAUUGCAAUCUUUCAUGUCCUAUUAUUCUUGGUAGACCUUUCCUUAGAACGAUUGGUGCAAUUAUUGAUAUGAAGGAAGGAAAUAUUAGGUUCCAAUUUCCAUUAAGGAAAGGCAUGGAACACUUUCCUAGAAACAAAAUCAAAUUAACUUAUGAAUCUAUUAUGAGAGCCACUUAUGAAUUGAAUACCAAAGAUGGCAAUAAUUAGAUCUAUUCUCACUUUUAUGCCUAUCUAGGGCUUUAAACGAUAGCGCUAGUUGGGAGGCAACCCAAUUUUAUUUUUGUUCCUUGCUUUUUUGCUUCUGUUUAGUAAUAAAUAAAUCACCUAGCUUUUGUUUAGAUGUGGUUUUAUGUUUUAAUUAGUGUUUGUUCCAAGUAGAACCUAUAGGAUAACCUACGGUGAUAGUUAAUUUGAUCUUGCUGAAAAACAGAAACAGUUGAUUCUUUUUGCAGUAGAUCAAAGACAAAUUUCCCAGGACUUCCUAUUUUGGUAGGAUUUUUAGAGUUCCAGAAGUAUUCAAAAGUUACAGAUUGCUACAGACUGUUCUGUUUUUGACAGAUUCUGUUUUUCGUGUGUUGUUUGCUUAUUUUGAUGAAUCUAUGGCUAGUAUUGGGGGGUAUGAACCAUAGAGAAGUUGGAAUGCAGUAGGUUUAAAACCAAUAUAAAUAAAUAAUGAGUUCAUUACAGUACCUUAAGUGGUGGUUUUUAUUUCUUACACUACCGGAGCUUAUGAGAUUUCAUGUGGAGUUUUGUGUUGUGAAGUUUUCAAGUUUUGGGUAAAGAUUUGAUGGACUAUGGAAUAAGGAGUUGCAAGAGCCUAAUCUUGUGGAUGCCCAUGGCACCCCGAGAUAAUUCAAGAACAACCAAAAGCCUAAGCUUGGGGAUGCCCCAAGAGGCAUCCCCUCUUUCGUCUUCGUCUAUCGGUAACUUUACUUGGAGCUAUAUUUUUAUUCGACACAUGAUAUGUGUUUUGCUUGGAGCGUCUUGUAUGAUAUGUGUUUUGCUUGGAGCAUCUUGUAUGAUAUGAGUCUUUGCUUUUUAGUUUACCACAACCAUCCUUGCUGUACACACCUUUUGGGAGAGACACACAUGAUUCGGAAUUUAUUAGAAUACUCUAUGUGCUUCACUUAUAUCUCUUGAGCUAGACAAUUUUGCUCUAGUACUUCACUUAUAUCUUUUUAGAGCAUGGAGGUGGCUUUAUUUUGAAGAAAUUAUUGAUCUCUCAUGCUUCACUUAUAUUAUUUUGAGAGCAUUUUAGAACAGCAUGGUAUUUGCUAUGGUUAUAAAAUCGGUCCUGGAAUGAUGGGCAUCCAAGUUGGGUAUAAUAAAAACUAUCAUAGAGAGUGCAUUAAACACCAUGAUCAAUUUGAUACUUGAUAAUUGUUUUGAGAUAUAAAGGUGGUAAUGUUAGAGUCAUGCUAGUGGGGUAAUUAUGAAAUUGAGAAAUACUUGUGUUAAAGUUGGCAAGUCCCGUAGCAUGCAUGUAUGGUAAAAGUUGUGUAACAAAUUUGUUGCAUGGAGUGCUCUUUUGAUUGCCUUCCUUAUGUGUGGAGGUCGGGAUCGCGCGAUGGUUAACUCCUACCAACCCUUCCCCUAGGAUCAUGCGUAGUAGUACUUUGCUUCGAGGGCUAAUAAACUUUUGCAAUAAGUAUAUGAGCUAUUUAUGACUAAAUGUGAGUCCAUGGAUUAUACGCACUCUCACCCUUCCACCAUUGCUAGCCUCUCUUAUGCCGCGCAGCUUUCGCCGGUAUUAUACAUCCACCAUUUACCUUUUUUUAAACAGCCAUCAUACCUACCUAUUAUGGCAUUUCCAUAGCCAUUCCGAGAUAUAUUGCCAUGCAACUUUCCACCGUUCCGUUUACUAUGACACGCUCCAUCAUUGUCAUAUUGCUUUUGCAUGAUCAUGUAUUUGACAUCGUAUUUGUGGCAAGGCCACCUUCAUAAUUUUUUCAUACAUGUCACUCUUGGUUCACUGCAUAUCCCGGUACACCACCGGAGGCAUUCACAUAGAGUCAUAUUUUGUUCUAAGUAUUGAGUUGUAAUUCUUGAGUUGUAAAUCAAUAAAAGUGUGAUGAUUUUCAUUAUUAGAGCAUUGUACCAAGUGAGGAAAGGAUGAUGGAGACUAUGAUUCCCCCACAAGUCGGGAUGAGACUCCAGACUUUAUAAAAAUAAAAGAGGCCAAAGAAGCCCAAAUAAAAAAAAUAAGCCAAAGAAGCCCACUAAAUAAAUAAAAAAAUGAGGGAAAAGAGAGAAGGGACAAUGUUACUAUCCUUUUUCCACACUUGUGCUUCAAAGUAGCACCAUGAUCUUCAUGAUAGAGAGUCUCCUAUGUUGUCACUUUCAUAUACUAGUGGGAAUUUUUCAUUAUAAAACUUGGCUUGUAUAUUCCAAUGAUGGGCUUUCUCAAAAUGCCCUAGGUCUUCGUGAGCAAGCAAGUCGGAUGCACACCCACUUAGUUUUUUUUGUUGAGCUUUCAUACAUUUAUAGCUCUAGUGCAUCUGUUGCAUGGCAAUCCCUACUCACUCACAUUGAUACCUAUUAAUGGGCAUCUCCAUAGCCCGCUGAUACGCCUAGUUGAUGUGAGACUAUAUUCUCCCUUUUUUGUCUUCUUCACAACCACCAUCCAAUUCCACAUAUAGUGCUAUAUCCAUGGCUUGCACUCAUGUAUUGCGUGAGAGUUGAAAAAGCUGAAGCGCGUUAAAAAGUAUGAACCAAUUGCUUGGCUGAAACCGGCGUUGUGCAUGAUGGGAGUACUUUGUGUGAUGAAAAAUGAAGCAUAGCCUAACUAUAUAAUUUUGUAGGGAUAAGCUUUCUUUGGCUUUGCUAUUUUGAUAAGACAUGAUUACUUUGUUAGUAUGCUUGAAGUAUUACUAUUUUUAUGUUAAUAUGAACUUUUAUCUUGAAUCAUUUGGAUCUGAACAUUCAUGCCACAAUAAAGAAAAUUAAAUUGAGAAAUAUGCUAGGUAGCAUUCCACAUCAAAAUUUUUGUUUUUAUCAUUUACCUACUCGAGUACAAGCAGGAAUUAAGCUUGGGGAUGCUUGAUACGUCUCCAACGUAUCUAUAAUUUUUUAUUGUUUCAUGCUACUAUAUUACCCGUUUUGGAUGUUUAUGAGCUUUACUUUACACUUUUAUAUCAUUUUUGGGACUAACCUACUAACCGGAGGCCCAACCCGAAUUGCUAUUUUUUUCCUAUUUCAGUGUUUCGAAGAAAAGGAAUAUCAGACGGAGUCCAAACGGAACAAAACCUUCGGGAGCAAUAUUUUUGGAACAAACGCAAUCCAGGUGACUUGGAGUGGACGUCAAGAAGCGGCCGAGGCGGCCACGAGGGUGCCUGGUGCGCCCUAGGGGGGUGGGCGCGCCCCCCGCCCUCGUGGGCCCCUCGUGGCUCCGCUGACCGACUUCUUUCGCCUAUAUAUACUUGCAUACCCUGAAAACACUGAGGGGCACCACGAAAACCUAUUUACACCGCCGCAACCUUCUGUACCCGUGAGAUCCUAUCCUGGAGCCUUUUCUGGUGCUCCGCCGGAGGGGGGAUCGAUCACGGAGGGCUUCUACAUCAUCGCCAAGGCCUCUCCGAUGAGUUGUGAGUAGUUUACCAUAGACCUUCGGGUCCAUAGUUAUUAGCUAGAUGGCUUCUUCUCUCUCUUUGAAUCUCAAUACAAUGUUCUCCUCGAUCUUCUUGGAGAUCUAUUCGAUGUAACUCUUUUUGCGGUGUGUCUGUCGAGAUCCGGCGAAUUGUGGGUUUAUGAUCAAGUUUAUCUAUGAGAAAUAUUUGAAUCUCCUCUGAAUUCUUUUAUGUAUGAUCUUUGCAAGUCUCUUCGAAUUAUCAGUUUGGUUUGGCCCACUAGAUUGAUCUUUCUUGCAAUGGGAGAAGUGCUUAGCUUUGGGUUCAAUCUUGCGGUGUCCUUUCCCAGUGACAGUAGGGGCAGCAAGGCACGUAUUGUAUUGUUGCCAUCGAGGAUAAAAAGAUGGGGUUUAUAUCAUAUUGUUUGAGUUUAUCCCUCUACAUCAUGUCAUCUUGCCUAAUGCGUUACUCUGUUCUUAUGAACUUAAUACUCUAGAUGCAUACUGGAUAGCGGUCGAUGUGUGGAGUAAUAGUAGUAGAUGCAGAAUCGUUUCGGUCUACUUGUCACGGACGUGAUGCCUAUAUACAUGAUCAUGCCUAGAUAUUCUCAUAACUAUGCACUUUUCUAUCAAUUGCUCGACAGUAAUUUGUUCAUCCACCGUAAUACUUAUGCUAUCUUGAGAGAAGCCACUAGUGAAACCUAUGGCCCCCGGGUCUAUUUUCCAUCAUAUAAGUUUCCCAUCUAUCUUAUUUUGCAAUCUUUACUUUCCAAUCUAUAUCAUAAAAAUACCAAAAAUAUUUAUCUUAUCUUAUUAUCUCUAUCAGAUCUCACUUUCGCAAUUGGCUGUGAAGGGAUUGACAACCCCUUUAUCGCGUUGGUUGCGAGGUUCUUGUUUGUUUGUGUAGGUACGAGGGACGUGUGUGGAGCCUCCUACUGGAUUGAUACCUUGGUUCUCAAAAACUGAGGGAAAUACUUACGCUACUUUGCUGCAUCACCCUUUCCUCUUCAAGGGAAAACCAACGCAGUGCUCAAGAGGUAGCAAAGGGGUUGUGGCCAAGAUGACAGAGAAGCUUGAGGCUUCAUGACGAAGAAGGGGGAGGCUAGUGUCGCGUGCAAUAAGGUGAAGAAGCGAAAGAAGGCGGAGAGGUUUAGCAUUUUCAUGGACAUGUAAGAAAAGAAGCUCAAGCUCCAAGAGAAGAAGCUUGAGAUCAAUGCCACUUCAGGGAACUCUAAAAUGUUGUUUGUGAGGACGUCAUACUUGGGUCCCGAUGCGGCGGUCCAAGCCUGCCAUGCGAUCUUAUUGAAGCACUUCGCACAAAUGGAGGAGGUCGGACCAUCCGAAGAGUGAGGUCUUUGCUACAAACAGGCGACCUGGGAGCCAAAGAUGAAGGUCUUUGCGUGGACAGGUGGAUUGGCAACUUUUGGAAUCGGUCGAUGUAAAAACUUAUUAAACAUCUGGUGCUUUUUGAUUGUGAAUAGUUACAUAUACUUGCAACUAUUAAAUGUAUGCUUAAAUUCGUAUUGAUUUAGAUAUACAUGUGAAAUGGAGGAGGCCGGAACAUAGGCGAAGAUUUGAUGACUCCUAUUGGAUGGCAUCCGUUUCUAUUCUUAUGCAAACGUGCCCAUGGAUAUUUGGAGGUAUACGUUCUGAUGAACACGUCAAACAUGCAUGUAGAUAUUUGGUAGUAUCUGUUUUGAUAAACUACGUUGAAGUUGCCCCUAUGAUGCAAGCAUUCAGUGGUAUUCAUUUUGGUAAAUGGCGAUUAGGGCAUCUUUGAUUCGUAGGAUUCUUAAAAUGAAGGAAAAGGAAAAAUACAGGAACAGGAUGGCAUGUCCUAUAUAACCCUACAUAAUCUGAGAGAAUGUUAAUAGGGCAUGAAAAACAAAGAAAUCCUACAAAGAGGUUUAGGAUAGGAUUCUAUAGGAAAAUUUUCUUGAAAACACUUCCAUUUGUAGGAAUAGAAUCAUGUUCCUAUAGAUGAAUUCUUUCUAUCCUCCACAUUUCAUAAGAAAUAAAUAUUAGGCUAGACUCAAUGAUAAGAAUCCUAUGAUGUGAACCAAAUGACAUCUCUUUUUCUAUUCAUAUUCAUAGGAUUUGAGAUAUAUGUCAUCUCAUCUCAUUUUCUAUGACUUUUCUAUUCCUUUGAAUAUUCUAUCCUAUGAACCGAAGGAGGCCUAAGUGAAUGAAAACUUUCCUCCAAAAUGUAGUACCAUGGAUCCUAUGAAAAAAGUCCUAAGGAUUCAAUCCUACGAAUCAAACUACCAACCAUCGCAGGAAAAAAUUUCUAAGGGUCCAUCCUCCCAAAAUCCUAUGUGAUUCUUUUGAGCCCUGAAGUUGCUGCCCUAGGAGGCAGGUAGGAGGGGGGCUUGGAGAGCACGAUGGCCGGAGAUCGGAUUGGGGACACGUGGCGUGGCAGGGCGGGAGCAGGAACUGACACGUGCCAAAGCGGUGUCAUGACACACAAAACCAACAUUAAGCUGCCCAUAGUGGUGGUAUCUUAGGUAGUAUCGUGCACUCGGGAAUAGCAGCCAUGUUGAUGUGGCAGAAAAUUAGAGAGAGAGGGUUAGAGUAACAUACCAUAUCAUGUUAAGUGAUAUGCCACUUUGUAUCAUGCAUGGCAAUAAAUAUGAUCAUCUAUGAUACUACUGUAUGAUUCUAUGCACUAUGAAGGUAGUAUGAUACACUAAUAUCACAUGCAUGAUACUCGUCUGGCGACUCGGGGGUAAAAAAACCCUAGCGCCGCCACCUUCUUCCCCUUCCCCCCAGCCGUCUUGCCGCCGCCAGAGGACGCCCCCGGCGAAGCUCGGGCCGGCCCCAAGGAAGGCGGCGGCGGGGCGCCAGUUCCUGGUCUCGGAAAGGAGAUCCACUCCGAGGCAGCGGCAGAAGGAGGCGCGGCGAGGUGCGAGGUGGGCGGCGCGCGGGCUGGACCCGGUCUGGGGUUCCGGCGCGCCCUGGUGACGCGGGUGUGCAGGGGCCCGCGUGCACGGCACGAGGCCGCUUCGAGCGACGCGGUGGCGCGCGGGGGGUUUCCCCAGAGCCGAUCUGCUGGGGUUGGCCUUCCCCCCGUGGCUGGCGGCCCGCUUGCGGCUCAGAUCCAUGGCGGCGCCCAUGGCUGGUGGCACGUGGCGCAGCUUGGCGGCGGGCGGCGCCAGCGUGGACAGGUGGGCCACUUCUCUGGCCAUGUGGAUGGCGGGGAGGUGGUGGGCUUCGGCUGCGGCGGCGGUUCCUCGCUGGAUGUUGGUGGCCAUGGUGAUGUUCGUCCUCGACCCCGAUCUACUCCGAUCUGCAAUGGAUCCGGCCCUUGCUGGCUUCGGUCACCGUUCUUGGGUGUUGGCCUUGCAGAUCCGGUGGCUGGAAGGGUUCUGGGGGAAUCUCUUGGCCGGCGUGGCGGCCACUCCGAUGGCAGUGCCUUUGGGUGUUGCUUCCCUCGUUGGAGGCUUCGGAGAGGACCUCCUUCCUUCCACCCCUCCCAGGAGCUCAGGUGAAAACCUCAGACCCCCCUGUUCCAAGCGACGACGACACCACGGUGGCGUGCUCCUUCCUGAAGGCGUUGCUCGGGGCUGCUCAAGCGGCGGUGGAAGUGGCGACGGUUCGGUGUCGACAUAUGCAUUCUGGUCAGCUUCAUCUUGGAGGUUGCCGCGACGUAGGCGACGCUCGUCUGGUGGAGCUACUGCCGAUGGUCAAGGCAUCGUCGGCAGUCUGCGCCAUCAGGUUUGGGAUGCUCAGGGGGAAACCCCAGAUCUGGGUCUUCCGAAUCGGAUGAUGAUGGCGUUCUAUCGCUUUUCCUUCUGGGGGCAUCGUCUUGGAGCAAGUGCUGGCUCGAGGGAUGGUGGAGCGGUCUUUCAUCUCACAUAUUGGAUGGCGGCAGAGAUUGAUGGCAUGGCGCUGUGGAGACUCGGCGCCCGAUGCGCGGAGAUGGGCGCGCGCAGGAGGAGGUUGCUGUCUGGCGUCAUGGUGACGUCGAUGGCAGAGUGGCCAGACAAGGUAGAAGCCUCAAUAUGAUCUGAAGACCUGUGGAAGAUGGCGGCGACGACACACGAGUGCGUCUGACCGGAUUGUACCCCAGACCCGGUAUGUGGCUCGGCUGGGGCUUCCAAAUGAGUUUCGGCUUCCGGCUUUUGAUGUUAGGCUUAGGUGAGUGGUUUGGGUAGUGGCCCAGCUCGCACUCCUUCAUCAUUUUGGAUAGGAAUAGGGGCAUAUGUUGCCAAAAUGGUGUUCUCAGGCACAUUGUUGUAAUACUUUGUAAGGUCCUCGAGAAUAUAAGUGGCCGUAUGCAUCUUCCAGAUGCAGAGGCCGGGGGUCAUCCUCCUUUUCUAAAAAAAAUAAAAUAUCACAUGCAUGAUACUAGUAUAUGAUACUCCCAGUAUGAGUAGCCUUAUGCGGCGCAGCAAACAUCACAGCUCCAUCUAUCUGGAAAAGAAAGAACAAUUAACCUGAGAUCAGCAAAAGCAACUUCACUUCCUUUUGCUUUAGUUGUAUCAACUUCCUUUUGCUUUAGUUGUAUCAUGCAGUAUACCAGAACCAUUCAUGAUUUGAGAAUUGGACACCAGGAAAUACACAGGCCAAACACCUCAUUCCAAAUAAGAACACAUUGGACAGGUAAUCGAACUGUGCACACUCUCAUAUUGAUCCGUAAAGUACAGGUCGACCCUCCAGUGAUUUCUCUAUGAUUUCAUCUAUCUACUGCUUCUCUAUAUACAGGAUACGGCACAACAAAAGAACCUCCCAGUCCACUGAAGGAAACAUACAUAUACAACAUUGUUCCGAUAAUGUCUGUUCUGUACACAACUCCACUCCACCUUGGUGCAAAGCCUCGUUCUACACCAUCAUGUUCAUGUAGGCUGGACCGCUGACAGUCAAGACGACGACAACAAGCAUUUCUCCUAAUCUCAUCGUACAAGCACAUCUCGGGACUGUUGUUGCCAUAUGUCACAUCGUUCUUGCUCGACCUGCAAAGACCACACGCUUACUAUUAGACAUUAUGCUGUUAAAGCUGCAGUUCAGUUGAUAUAUCUACAGAAUACAUCAUAAAAGAC
RNAcentral lists this long non-coding RNA (54695 nucleotides) under Triticum aestivum (bread wheat). RNAcentral describes it as "long non-coding RNA (TAES_LNC007137)". Lineage: Eukaryota; Viridiplantae; Streptophyta; Magnoliopsida; Poales; Poaceae. The record is from RNAcentral.